AAAAAAAUAACUGUAAUAAAAAACCAUGACGACUAUCUUGUUUUGGUCAACCUUUUCUACCUUUGCUGAUCAUUUUCACUCUCCUUUCUUGAUUGCUUCUUCUUGUUGGUUUCUCUUCUAUUUUACCACUAUUUAAUUACAAAAUAUUUAUUAUAAUAUUAAAAAAAAAAAACCAAAUACAGCACCCUUUUUCUCCCUUCCCCUACUUCUCCUUCCUCUCGGUUUCCUACUCAUAUUAGUUUCCCAUUUCGAAUAAGGGAAAUAAGCCCUAAUAAUCGAAGUUGAAUCGGCCUCAUGGAUGGUUCAAUUCUCCUGGACCUACUUGUUGAAUUGCCAAACAAGAAGUAGGGAAGAGGGUUUUUGGAAUCUCUGUAAAUUGGAGACCUUUUGAUAGCUCAAGGAGGAUAUAGGUAUGGCUGUUGUAAUGGGAUUUUGCAUUCAAUGUUUUUGAAAUGUAAGGAGUUUCUUUCUCUUGCUGUGAUCUUUGCUGUUCCUAAUUUGUCACAGAGCAGUAAGAAGAAAAGGGUAUUUGAGUUUGAGUUUAAGUUUGAUUUGUGGUGUUAAUGGGGGAAUUCGGUUAAUUUGAUUAUAUCAUUGAUUAAAAGUGUUAGUGAUUCUGUUGGGCAUCGUUAAUAUUUAAUAUUUCAAAGAUGUUUUGCCAAUCCCUGAUGCAUUUAUGAAGCUUUGUUGCCCAUCAGUACUACUGUACUUCUUGAUGUCCUCUCUGUUUCGACUUGUCUGUUCUUUUUUUUUUUUUGUUUUAAUGUUUGCUGCAAGUGUUAUCCUCUAGAUUAGAUAAUUUGAGCAAAUUCGGGGACUUAGAAUUGGUGAUUUAUCGCACAAUUAUCCACAAUUUUCGCUGAAAUGGAAGGGAAAGGCGUGCUAUUACUUUGCGCAACUCGUCAGUGCCUGCCUGCUUGUGCGAUUCUUCAUCUCCACAUUUUCUUUCAUUGCUAUAGUUGAACUUGUUAUCUGCUAGACUGGAUAAUUGAGCUUGCGAAAUGGCAAUUUUGAGGUUUAGAUUGCCAAUUCGGUAUUGUCACUGGAUUAGAAGGGAAACGUUACUUUUGUAUGCUUGCUUGCUCUCUUUUAGUGUGAUUAAUCUCUUUUUGUAUGUUUGCUUACUGGAUUUUUUUGGUUUAUUGUUCAGUGCGUGGAAUAUUUUGUUUGAAUUUGAUUAAUUCCAUUAACUCCUGAAUGAAUUAAUAUAUGUUAUGGUUCCCGUCAUAAUUGAUUUACAUUUGUGAUUCUCAAGGCUGGCAACCAGGAAUUCAAGAGGGUGCUGCUUCUUGGGAUGAAGAUUGGGAUAAGUUUGAAGAUGAUGGUAUGCUCUCUACCUUCCCUACAUUGAACUAUUUAUCACACCUCAUGCUUCCUUUUGCCUUUCCAAUCUCCAAUAAAUGCCAUGAAUUGAGUGGAUUUUUCUCAAGAAUAUUGCACAAAUAUUAGUUCGAAUUUAUCUAUGCAACAUAUCAUUUCCACUUUCAGGGUUUUCCAAUGAGCUCACUGUUGAUGUGAAAAGCGCUCCUGGUCAAAAGGAGAGAGCACCUGCGGAUGUUAGUUUAACCCCUGAUUCAUUGUCAAAUGGAGAUGGGAGGUCUGGAAUUUUUACUGGAGACCAUGUGCUUGAGAGUGAAUCUGCAUAUAUCCACAGUGAAGAUGAAAUUGCAAGAAGCCCUCAAGACAGUCCAGCUGGAAGGGCUGCUUCAGAAAGUCCAUCUCAAGACUUUGCUGAUGUUUUUGCCAAGAAUACUGAAGCAGAUAUAGAUACCCACAGGUACAGCAAUCAAUUUGUUUCCAUGUCUUUUGCCUACUUUAGUGCUGAUUGUUGGCCUACUUCAUGAUGAUAAUGAACUUUAUAUUUUUGGCAAUAGAAGUUUUGAUGAUUCAACUUGGGGUGCCUUUGACACAAAUGAUGAUGUGGACUCAGUCUGGGGAUUUAACCCUGCAGGCAACAAGGUGAGUCCAGUAUUCCUGAAGCACUCUUUUAUUCUACUGCAAUUGAGCAUGGAUACAUGUUGGAUAUUCAAAUUGUAGCUUGCUGAAGCACAUUCUAUGCAGUUAUCACUUUAUAGAUCACUUCAUUAAGGAAUUGCACCUGAUAUAUUGAUUUAACGCUCACAUCAUGAUUGCUGGAAUGCUUUUACAAAUGCAGGCAUAUUCUUGUUAUUACCAUCAUAUUUGCACAUACCUUGGGCCAUGCAUCUAUCCUUAGGUUUCCAUGUUUUGUGCAUAGGCACUCUGGUCGAAGUGAACCUAUUGGCAAGUCUUGUGAAAUAUACCUGUGUGCAGUUCUCAGGUUUUAUCAUCCAAUGAGAUAUCCAGAUGCAUAUCCAUUGUCGAUACAGUGAGUUGAACUUUGUGAGAGAUGCCAUGUGCUAUUAGAGAGCUCAAACAAUGCUAAAGAUACAAAUUAUUUUGAUUAAAAUUAUUUUAUGGAUUGGUGCUGCUGCUAUGAUGGGUGUUGCAGUGAUCGAUUAAAUAAUAAGAGUCUGAGAUAUCUCUUCACAUUGCCCUCAAUUAUUUGGUUGUGUCAUCUAGCAGGACUCUUCUGAGAACGAGAGAGAUUUCUUUGGAUCUGAUGAUUUUGGUCUAAAGCCAAUCAGAACGGAAUCCACAUCAACAACGAAUACUUUCCAGAAAAAGAGUAUAUUUUUUGAAGAAUCUGUUGCAGGUUCCCCAAUGUCAAGAUUUGGCAACUCUCCAAGGUUCAGCGAAGCAGGGGACCAUUUUGACAAUUACUCGAGAUUUGAUUCCUUCAGCAUGAAUGAAGGAGGCUUUUCACCACGAGAAAAGCUUACAAGGUUCGACUCCAUAAACAGCUCCAAAGAUUUUGGCCACAGCCGUGCUUUCACUUCAUUUGAUGAUGGAGAUCCAUUUGGCUCCAGUGCCCCCUUUAAGGUUUCAUCUGAAGAUCAAACUCCCAAAAAGAGUUCUGGCAAUUGGAGUUCUUUCUAGCAGCAAUCUGGUUUUCCCCUCCCUCCCUCUCUCUCCAUUUUUUUUCACGGUUGCCAAUUUUUGUAUGUGCUGUAUAGAUUGUGUUGAAAUGCUGCAUUGUUGUAAAGUUAUUCAUCAUGGCCUUGCUUCAUUUUUAUUUUGCUGAGGUAAAAAACUUAUGUUUGGGGGGCAUCCAGAUCAAAGAUGGAAUGCUUGUUCUUUUGAGUGGCAAAUUCUUGAGACCAAUAAAACUGAGUAGUUUGAGAAAACAAUGACUCUUGGCAUUCCAUCAACUCACAUUGCUCAAAUGCAUUUUAUUUGAAGCUGCCUGCUUCACUAUGACUGUUGGCAUUCCCUUUCAUCAUUUUUUAAUUUUUGGUGCUACGAGUUGUUUAACAAUGUAAGUCAGUCAGUAAACACCGGUUUGGAGGCGCGUGACCUUCCUUAAGGGUUUUGACCACGCGCUUCCUUGGAUAUUUCUAUUAUACAGAUGAGCUCGGCUGCUAGGCUAUGUCUGAAUAAGAUUAUGGGCUUGUUAGCUGGGCCUUUUCCAUAUUGGCAAGUUGUGGACUCGUAUUGGGUUUUGCGUGUCGGAUUUGAUGAAUCAUUUUUUUCUUUUCUUUUCUUGAGAAGUAUUUGGUGAAUCUAUUUUAUCUAUAAAAUAGUAAGUAAAUCGCUAUUCCUGGAAUAAUAAAGGAAUGCUGAAGUUGAUUCGGCUUUUUCCGGGGAAAAGAAAAAAGAUCAAUCCUUCUGUAUUUUGGAAUGCUAGAUAUAGGUAUGGUGCUCGUAUUGUUUUCUUCACUUGAGUUUACUGCCCCACAUAAUUCCUGCUUCAUUUUAUUUUCCCCGAAGAAGUUUAUAUAUAUAUGGGCAUGGUGCUCAUCAAAUGCAAUAGAUUUUGGAAAUUUAAACAAAAGUAUUUUCUGACAUUACGAGAGGGCUACGGUGCUUGUGCUGGAGUUUACUGCCCCACCUAUCAAAUUGCAGUGCUCAUAUGCAAAGAAAAGUCACUAAAAAAGAGCAUCAUCAAUAUUCUAAGCCCUUCAAUAAUUAUCGAGUUAAUGGACCCCAUACCGACACUGACAUUAAUUGUGUUUUCUUGUAGAAUCAAACUAUUGCUGCUCCCAACAAAAUAAAUUUUAUUUUUUAAUAUUAAAUUGAUUAUCAAUUAGAUUUUAUUAUUUAUUUUAAUUUAUUUUCUAUAAAAUUAUUUUGAUUUUAUAAUUUGAAUUAUGUAUUUUGCAGGUUAACACUUGUAGAUUGAGAUUAUUUUAUUGUGUCAUGUUUUUAUAUUGAAUUUUUCUUUUUCAAUUUCAACAUUUAAUAAUAAUUUUUUUUGAAAAUUGAGUCUCAUAAUUUGUUUUGAUUUACUUUCUAUGGAUUUAUCAAGUUAACUCGAGUUGACUCAAUUUACUUUUUUGUUUACUUUCUAUAAGGUUAUCCUAAUUUUUUGACCCGGAUCACGGGUUUGACAGUUUAACUUAGGUCACUUUUUUUUUAAAUUUUAUCCUUUAAUAUUUGAUUGAUUUGGAAUCAGGCUUCAUAUUUUUUUUGGUCUUGCUUUCUCUAAAGUUAUCCUGAUUUCAUUAUUAGGGUUACAGUUUGGCAAGUUAACCUGAGUUGACUCUGGUUUUUUUUGUUUUUAUUUUUUUUAAUUUCAUCAUUAAAAAUUAAGACAUCUUAUCUUGAGUCACAUGUCAACUUAGGUUUGUUUUUAAUUUUAUAUUUUAAUAUUUAAUUAAUUUGAGAUUAAGCUUUUUAUUUAUUUUUGUUUUCUAUGAGGUUAUUUUAAUCUUAUUACAUAGUUCAAGAGUUUGACUGGUUAACCUGAGUUGACUUAAUUUUUUUAAUUGAUUUUUUUUUUCAAUUUCAUACUUCAACAUUGGAUUAAUUGAGAAUUAAACUUCAUAAUUUGUUUUGAUUUGAUUUAUAAGGAGUUAUCUUAGUCAUAUGACUUAGGUUGUAGCUUUAACAGGUAAACCCGGGUUAACUCGAGUUGUUGUUUUUUUUUUUUUUUAAUUUCAUAUUUUAUGAUUGGUUUAAUUGAGAAAUGAGUUUCAUAUUUGGUUUUGAUUUGCUUUCUAUGUGGUUAUUUUGGUCUUAUGUUUUGAGUCGUGAAUUUGACAGGUUUACUCGGGUAGAUCUAAUAUGUUUUCGUCUCAAUAUUUUUUUUUUUUAAAAACAUGCAAUCUUGAAUUUCUUUAAUCAAACUAUAUUUUUAACGAUUUUCCAAUUGACCUGGUCAUAUAUCAAGUUAACCCCUACACGUUUUAAUUUUUUUCAACUAGAAAACACGUUAAUAACACUUAGAUAUUUUUUUGACGUUAAAAAAAUUAAUCCGACCUGCAACAUAGUGCGGACAAUAAUCUAGUCUACUCUAUUUUUGAAAGUAAAGGCCUAAAGGGAUAUUCGAGAUUAUGGUAGUGAUUGCUUUUCAAAGUGCAUUCACUCAGAAAUGUAUUAAAAUAAUAUAUAUAUAUAUAUUUUAAAAAUAUUAUUUUUGAUAUUAACACAUCAAACUAAUCUGAAAAUGCUAAAAAAAUUAUUAAUUUGAAGUAAAGAAAAAAAUAAUUUUUUUUUAAUUUUUUCAAAACAUUUUUGAAACCAAAAAAACAAACAAACAUUAAAAGAUGUUAAAAUUCGGAUAGACUUAGAAUGAAAUCCCCAAACUAAUGGCAAGAGGAUCAGAAUACAUGUAUUUGGAUUAUUUUCUACUCGAUCUCUUCCCAUGAAAGUCAGGGAGAAUAGAUUAACUGACUGGCCUUCCUAAUUUCCAAAUGAUACUAUUGGUGAACCUUUUUCUCCUUUGUGGAAAAAGAAAAGGACUUGCUAGACAAUCUGAAUCUAUUGUCUUAUGCAUUGGAAUUGAUUGUUGGCGUUCCCGCUCUUCAUUUUUUUUUUAAUUUUUUGUGCUACGAGUUGCUUAUUAAGUUUAGGAAUGUGGUUGUGGUUGGUUUUUAAAGUAUUGUUUAUUUGAAAAUAUAUUAAAUUAUUUUUUUUAUUUUUUAAAAAUUAUUUUUGACAUUAAUACAUCAAAAUAAUUUAAAAUUACCAAAAAAAUAUUAAUUUGAAAAAAAAAACUUUCAAUUUUUUUUCAAAAAUAUUAUUGAAAUGCAAAAAACAAACUUGUCAUAAGCCACACAAUAAACACUGGUCUUGGAGGCGCGUGACCUUCUUUAAGGGUUUUGAGUCUUUUGACCACACGAUUCCUUGGAUAUUUCUAUCAUCCAAAUGAGCUCGUUAGCUAGGCCUUUUCCAAAUCGGCAAGUUGGGGACUCUUAUUGGGUUUUGCAUGUUGGAUUUGGCUCCAAUUUGAUGUUUUUUUUUUCUCGAGAAGUAUUUGGUGAAUCUAUUUUAUUUACAAAUUAGUUAGGUAGCCCGUGCUAUGCCACGGAUUCACCUUUUAUUUUUAUAAAAAAGUUGGGUUCUACGUAUUGCAGGAUCCAAGUCUAUUUUGGGUCUUACACAACCAAUGAUCAAAGGAUAUUUUGGGUACUGCAACAUGCGGGAUCUAAGGAUAGUUGGGUCUUGGCGCAGUCCCAGUGCCACUUGUACGCUUGGUCUGGCAACACAAAGGCAGGUAGCCCAAGAGCAACGUGUUCCCAUGUGGUUUUUCUUCAAUAGUAACAACAGUUUUUUAAAAUUUAUUAAUGAUAAUGAUGAUAAUAAUAAUAAUAGUAUAAAAAUAAUAAUAAUUAUAACACAAAAGAUAACAUUUUUAAUAUUAAUAGAUUUGAUUAUAGUAAAAAUAAUAAUAUUCAUAACACAAAUAAUAGUAUUUUUAAUUCCAAGAAUAUUUAGAACACAAAUAAUAAUAUUUUUUAUAUUAAUACUUAGAAUUGUUGAAUAUUUUUAAUAAUAAUACGCCGCGGGCUCACUUUUUAUUUUUAUAAACAAUAUCAUAAAAAUUUAUAAUAUAAAUAGUAAUAUGUUUUCAAUAAUAAUAAUAAUAAUAAUAUUUUAUUUCAAAUUUAUUAAUUAUUUUAUUAAUAAUACUAAUUAUAAUAAAAAUUAUAAUAUUUACAAUACAAAUAAUUAUAUUUAGAUUCCUAGGACCUAGGAACCUUGGGUCUUGAUGAAUGACCGAAUAGAAUUGGGUCCUUAUGCAAGACCAAUUGAGCGUGGGUCCUAGCCAUAGUUUUAAAACCCGAACCGGUCCGGCGGGUUGACCCGGGACCCGGCCGACCCGGGCAUGAGACCGGUCCGGGUGGAGGCCAAAACCCGCUUGGGAAUUGACCUGGCCAGACCCGGUCGACCCGGAACCCGGUUGACCCGGCAAGACCCGACCGCAAACCCGUUGACUUUUAUUUUUUUUUUACUAAAACGACGUCGUUUUAAUUUUUUUAAAAAAAAAUUAAAAAUUUUUUUUUGACCCGGCGACCCGGUCGAGACCCGGUCAAAACCCGGAACCCGGGCCUUGGACCGGGCCGACCACCGGGCCGAGUCUAAAAACUAUGGUCCUAGCACCAAAUCCAUUUCCCUUGGGCGGGUGUUGGCUUGGCUCACACCACCGCAAGCCAGCCUAAGCACCACAUGUUCGCUUGGUCAACCUAACACACAGGCAUCAUCCCAAGUGCCAUGUUUGCAUUGGGGUUUGCCCAGCACACAGGUAGACAACCCAAGCACUCAAGGCUGGGCAGACCGAGCGCUAGGUGGCUACAGCCUGAGGGGGUAGCCAGUGGACGUUGCAUGCCCAGUGCCCAAGGCAGCCAAGCGCUAGGUGUUCGCAGCCUCAGUAGGCGCGCCUCCAGCCUGACGCUUGCGGCUUGCUGGUCGCAGCCUCACACAUGGCCCUACCAAACAAUGCUAUCCAUAGUGAAAGCACUUAUAAUCUAUAGUACUUCGUGCUAUAAUAUGUAAUAGUGUAAUCCAUAAUGAAUUCACUCAUAGUGCACAAUAGUUUGUACUAUAGUAAAAUACUGAUCAAUUUUAGUAAGAGGAAAGCUAUUCCUGGAAUAAUGAAGGAAUGCUGAAGUUGAUUCGGCCUUUUCCGGGGAAAAUAAAAAAAGAUCAUUCCUUCUGUAUUUGGGAAUGCUAGAUAUAGGUGUGGUGCUCGUAUUGUUUUCUUCACUUGAGUUUACUGGCCCACAUAAUUCCUGCUUCUUUAUUUUAUUUUCCCCGAAGAAGUUUAUAUAUAUGGGCAUGGUGCUCAUUAAAUGCAAUAGAUUUUGGAAAUUUAAACAAAAGUAUUUUCCCCGUAGUUUACCUGCUACGGUGCUUGUGCUGGAGUUUACUGCCCCACCUAUCAAAUUGCAGUGGUCAUAUGCAAAGAAAAGUCACUAAAAAGAGCAUCAUCAAUAUUCCAAGAAGGAUGGUACUUCCAUAAUCAUCGAGUUAAUGGACAUGACCACUGCAAUUUGAUAGGUGGGGCAGUAAACUCCAGCACAAGCACCGUAGCCCUCUGGUAAUGUCAGAAAAUACUUUUGUUUAAAUUUCCAAAAUCUAUUGCAUUUGAUGAGCACCAUGCCGAGUCAUCAAGUGCAGCCACAGAUACAAAAAUACAGGACAAGAAAAAUGAGAUGCUUAAAAUUGCAAGAAGUUUUGGCUCAUAAUCAAUGGACGCCAUGUUUGUGUCUAAUGCUUCCCUUCAAUGAUAAUGCUAAAUUUAUUAAUGAAGUGCAUGGCAUCAAUUCCCAUGGACUCGUUCCAAGUCAAGAUCGUCUGGUCUUUCACGUGUACCUUUCUCGCACGGGACAAGUUAAUCCAAUUUUUUUUUUCUUAUGAUGUGCAAUUUGAAAGCUUUACGUCCAUGGCUUUUUCAUGGACUCAUUCCACGUCUUGUAUUCCCUUUGUUUCAUAAAUAGAGUAGAUAAUCCGGCUGCUUCCAAGAGCAUGCAAUGGGCAAACUUUCCUUGAACCAGAUUGUCAGUAUCGGGAGAGCAACCAGACAUGGUUUAAUGUCCUGGAAAAAUAUCAGCCACAUUAGCAUGCCUAUGGUAAUAAGAAGAAGGCCCAUUUCUGUUUCUACAAGAAAACACAAUUAAUGUCAGUGUUGGUAUGUGGUCCAUUAACUCGAUGAUUAUGGAAGGACCAUCCUUCUUGGAAUAUUGAUGAUGCUCUUUUUUAGUGACUUUUCUUUGCAAUUUGAUAGGUGGGGCAGUAAACUCCAGCACAAGCAUCGUAGCCAAUUUCUUCGAAUUCCCAAUUCCCAAUUCCCAAUUUAUUUCCCACAAAUUCUUCGAAUUCCCAAUUUCUGAAGGGAUCGAACCUGUAAUCUUGAAAGACUGAUGUAGUUGUGGUGUAGAGAAAGUCCAAAACCGGUGUUUAUUGUCCAGCUUACACUGUUAAGCAAUUCAUAGCACCAAAAAUUAAGAACUGAAGAAAUGCAAUGCCAACUGUCAUGGUGAAGCAGCGUCGAAUAAAAUAGAACUUGAACAGUGUGAGUUGAUGGGUGAAAAUGAGAGCAUGAAAUUUCACCACCAUUGUUUUCUAAGUUUGUUUUUAUUGGUCUCAACAAUCUGUCACUCAAAAGAACAGGCAUUCUAUUUUUUAUCACGAACAGUGGCAUUUUAAAACUAAGAAGGCCAGGCAGUCAAUCCAUCCUUCCAUGGAAAGAGACCGUGUGGAAAAUAAUUGCUCGCGUCUUGGAGGCCAUGUUUGCGUCUAGUGCUUGCCUGCGAAAUUUAUGAAUGAAUUAAGUGCAUGGCUUUUUCAUGGACUCAUUCCACGUCUUGUAGGCCCUUUGUUUCAUAAAUAGAGUAGACUAGUAACAUGUCCCGCGCGAUGCCGCGGGUCAAUUAUUUUAUAUAUUUAAAAAAAAAAAACUAAAAUCUGAAAGUGUUAGGAUUUUUUAUAAAAUUAUACUCAAAAGUCUUAGGUUUGGUUGCAACGCCUGAACCAAGAGUAAUAUCUAUAAUAUUAAUAAUAACAUUAAACUUGCAUGACCUAAAUUUAAGUGGGUUUGGCUACAAUACCAGACCUAAUAGCAUUGGACGUGGGUCUAGUUGCAAGGGCGUGUCAUAAAAGUGUGAUAAUUAAAUAGAUUAAUUAAAAAAAAAAGGACAAAGAAAAAAAAACCAACAGGAAGAAAAAAACUAAUGAAGAAAAAAAAAAAAGCAUUAACUGGGUUAACCCUUCAAAUCACGUUAACCCGUCAAACCUUAGAUUCGCGUUGUAAAAGUUUGAUAACUAAAUAGGAAAAAACAAUUAAUGGGUUAACCCAGAAUUAACCUGACUAACUCGUCAAAUCAGGUUAACCCUUUAAACCCGGAAUCCGUGUCAUGAAAGUUUAAUAACUAAAUAGAAAAAAAAAAUUUAACAUUAACAAUUUAAAUUAAACAAAAAAAUUAAAAAAAAAACUAAAGGCAUAAGCUUUUUCACCGUGGACUGCACUGUGCAAUUCAUAGUCAAAGGCAUAAAAAAAAAAAAAACUAAAAGCAUCAGCCGAGAACUACAUAGAAAAAAAAUUUAAUAUUAAUAAACUAAAUUAAUUAAAAAGAAGGAAACCUCUAAGUAAAAAAAAAACAAACUAAAUAGAAAGAAAUUUAACAUUAAAAAAUUAAACUAAACGAAAAAAAUAAUUAAAAAGAUAAAAAAAGCAAAAAAAAUAAUUUCAAGUUAACUCGUCAAAUCAGGUUAACCCGUUAAAUCCGGGAUCCGUGUCAUGAAUAUUUGAUAACUAAAAAAAAAGAAAGAACGUUAACAAACUGAAUUAAACAAAAAAAAUUAAUUAAAAAGAAAAAAAAAAGAAAAUUUGUUUUGGAUUAACUUGUCCCGCGCGAGAAAGGUACACGUUAAAGACCAGACGAUCUUGACUUGGAACGAGUCCAUGGGAUUUGGGAAUGCCAUGCACUUCAUUAAUAAAUUUAGCAUUAUCAUUGAAGGGAAGCAUUAGACACAAACAUGGCGUCCAUUGUUUAUGAGCCAAAACUUCUUGCAAUUUUAAGCAUCUCAUUUUUCUUGUCCUGUAUUUUUGUAUCUAGUUCUGGUCCUCUGGCUGCACUUUAUGACUCGGCCUUGCUAGCAUCAGAAGGCAAGGCUUUGCUUGAGAGUGGAUGGUGGAGUCACUACAGCAACCUCACCUCACAUCGUUGCAACUGGACUGGCAUAGUCUGUGAUCGGGCUGGAAGAAUCACUGAGAUUUCCCCACCUCCAGAGUUCCACAAGGUGGGAAAUAAGUUUGGAAAGAUGAACUUUUCUUGCUUCUCAAACCUUGCCCGUCUCCACCUGGCCAACCAUGAGCUCAGUGGGAGCAUCCCGCCUCAAAUUUCCAUCCUUCCACAACUCAGAUACCUCAACCUGUCCUCAAAUUAUCUAGCAGGUGAGUUACCGUCUUCACUUGGAAAUCUCAGCCGAUUGGUUGAGCUUGAUUUUUCUUCCAAUUAUCUCAACUAUUCCAUCCCUCCAGAACUAGGCAAUCUUAAAAAUCUUGUUACUUUGAGCUUGUCUCAUAACAGAUUCAGUGGCCCAAUCCCUUCGGCACUUUGUCAUUUGGACAAUCUAACGCAUUUAUUUAUGGAUCGCAAUAUUCUCGAAGGUGCCCUCCCUAGAGAAAUAGGGAACAUGAGAAAUCUAGAGAGUUUGGAUGUGAGUGACAAUGCACUUUAUGGUCCAAUCCCUCGAACAUUGGGUAGGUUAGCCAAGUUGAGGUCUUUGAUCAUUAGUGAUGUCAGAGUCAGUGGAUCCAUUCCUUUGGAAAUAGGAAAUUUGACCAACCUUGAAGAUUUAGAUCUUUCCUCUAAUAUCAUCCUAGGUGGUUCGAUUCCUUCAACUGUAGGUUUUUUGUCUAAUUUGAUUUUUCUAAAUCUUUUCAAUAACCAAAUCACAGGUUCGAUUCCUUUUUCGUUAGGCAAUUUAACAAACUUGACAAUACUAGACCUCUCUUACAACCAAAUCAACGGAUCCAUCCCUUUGGAAAUACAAAACUUGACAAAUUUGAAAGAAUUAAAUUUGAGGUUAAACAAUAUCUGUGGUUCAAUUCCUUCAACUUUAGGCUUUUUAUCCAAUUUGUCUUUUCUAGAUCUUUCCUAUAACCAAAUCACUGGUUUGAUUCCUUCAACUUUGGGUCUUUUAUCCAAUUUGAUUAUUCUAGAUUUUUCCUACAACCAAAUCACAGGUUCGAUUCCUUUUUCGUUAGGCAAUUUAACAAACUUGACAAUACUAGACCUCUCUUACAACCAAAUCAACGGAUCCAUCCCUUUAGAAAUACAAAACUUGACAAAUUUGAAAGAAUUAAAUUUGAGGUUAAACAAUAUCUGUGGUUCAAUUCCUUCAACUUUAGGCUUUUUAUCCAAUUUGUCUUUUCUAGAUCUUUCCUAUAACCAAAUCACUGGUUUGAUUCCUUCAACUUUGGGUCUUUUAUCCAAUUUGAUUAUUCUAGAUUUUUCCUACAACCAAAUCACAGGUUCGAUUCCUUUUUCGUUAGGCAAUUUAACAAACUUGACAAUACUAGACCUCUCUUACAACCAAAUCAACGGAUCCAUCCCUUUAGAAAUACAAAACUUGACAAAUUUGAAAGAAUUAAAUUUGAGGUUAAACAAUAUCUGUGGUUCAAUUCCUUCAACUUUAGGCUUUUUAUCCAAUUUGUCUUUUCUAGAUCUUUCCUAUAACCAAAUCACUGGUUUGAUUCCUUCAACUUUGGGUCUUUUAUCCAAUUUGAUUAUUCUAUAUCUUUCCUCUAACCAAAUCACUGGUUUGAUUCCUUUUUCAUUAGGCAAUUUAACAAGCUUGAGAAAUUUAGACCUCCAUGACAACCAAAUCAACGGAUCCAUCCCUUUAGAAAUACAAGACUUAACAAAUUUGAAAGAAUUAAAUUUGAGUUCAAACAAUAUCUGUGGUUCGAUUCCUUUAACUUUAGGCUUUUUAUCCAAUUUGUCUUUUCUAGAUCUUUCCUAUAACCAAAUCACUGGUUUGAUUCCUUCAACUUUGGGUCUUUUAUCCAAUUUGAUUAUUCUAGAUCUUUCCUCUAACCAAAUCACUGGUUUGAUUCCUUUUUGGUUAGGCAAUUUAACAAACUUGACAAGCCUAGACCUCUCUCACAACCAAAUCAACAGAUCCAUCCCUUCAUCUUUGAAGUAUUGUAAUAAUUUGGCCUCCCUAGAUUUGAGCUUCAAUAAUUUAAGUGGAGAGAUACCCUCCGAACUAUAUGACUUGGGCUCUUUAAAUUAUGUGAAUUUUAGUUACAAUAAUCUCUCAGGCCGUGUUCCCUUGAAUUUGCCAACACCCUUUGAUUUUUAUUUCUCAUGUGAUUUACUUCUUCUUGGGGAAAUUACCAACAAUUCUGCAACUUUUAAAGCUACUGCAUUUGAGGGCAACAAAUAUUUACACCCUAAUUUCUCACGUUGUCCAUCUAUUUACUCCCCACCUUCACAAACCUACUUGUUACCUUCAAAAGACAACAAAAUAAUUCAUUCCAUCAAGAUCUUUCUUCCUAUCACCAUCAUUUUACUUUGUCUCUUGUGUCUUGGACGUUGUUAUUAUCUGUCUCGAUGCAAGGCUACCCAACCUGAGCCAACAACAUUAAAGAAUGGAGACUUGUUUUCCGUAUGGAAUUAUGAUGGGACGAUUGCAUACGAAGACAUCAUUACAGCGACCGAGAACUUUGACCUCAGAUAUUGUAUCGGAACCGGUGGUUAUGGGAGCGUCUACCGAGCACAACUUCCAGGUGGGAAAUUAGUUGCCUUGAAGAAACUUCAUCAUCGAGAGGCAGAGGAGCCGGCUUUUGACAAGAGUUUCAAAAAUGAGGUGGAAGUGCUCACACAAAUACGUCAUAGGAGCAUUGUAAAGCUUUAUGGAUUCUGUUUGCACCAGCGCUGCAUGUUUCUUGUUUACGAGUACAUGGAAAAGGGAAGCUUGUUUUGUGCCUUGAGAAAUGAUGUCGGAGCUGUGGAAUUGAAAUGGAUGAAAAGAGCACACAUCAUCAAAGACAUUGCUCACGCAUUAUCUUACUUGCAUCAUGAUUGCAACCCGCCAAUUGUUCAUCGAGACAUAUCAAGCAGCAAUGUCCUGUUGAAUUCAGAAUCCAAGUCUUUUGUUGCUGAUUUUGGCGUGGCUAGACUUCUCGAUCCUGAUUCGUCCAACCAUACUGUACUUGCUGGUACCUAUGGAUACAUUGCCCCAGGUAAAAAUAUUUCUUCUUAACAUCCAUAUUUACCACUCAUGCACUUCAAAACUAAAGCAAACUCUCUUUUAAAUAUAUAUAUAUAUAUAUAUAUAUUAAUUUUGUUUUGAAUAUGGACAGAGUUGGCUUAUACUAUGGCGGUGACAGAGAAAUGUGAUGUGUACAGCUUUGGAGUUGUGGCGCUUGAAACUUUGAUGGGAAGGCAUCCGGGAGAUAUCCUAUCAUCAUCUGCUCAGGCUAUUACACUGAAAGAAGUGUUAGAUCCUCGUUUGCCACCUCCAACAAAUGAGAUUGUCGUACAAAAUAUAUGUACCAUUGCAAGUCUUAUAUUUUCUUGCUUACAUUCAAAUCCAAAAAAUCGACCUUCGAUGAAAUUUGUGUCUCAAGAAUUUCUAUCUCCCAAGAGAUUAUUGGGAGGUCUCGAGAUUUCUUUGUUGGAGCUUCGAAAUCUUGGCUGGCACACAAAUGUAGGUGAGAUCAUAGUUCCUCGCUGAAAAAGUCAACUUCGAGCUCACAUGGAACUUCAACGAGAGCGCCUCCAAGAGUAUGUGUUUAUAGAAUUUCUUAAUUUUGGAUGAACUUUUUUUCUUUUGUUUUGUUUUAGCACACUACACGACUUUGUAAUAUUUUAGUGUGACAUUGUAUGUAAUUCUAAUAAUGCACACUUUUCUUGUGCAUGAUAACUAGUAUCAAUAUAUAUGAGCAUCAUAUUAAGUCUACCUCUCUAUACGUCGAGGUUAAAUUGAAAUCAUCACUCAUCUUAUAAUUAGGCAAAUCCACACUUGAAAUAUGCAGAAGAUAUUUGUUAACUACAUUAAUUUGUCCCUGCAAGCUCUUGUAUAAUAGAUGCCUGAAAGUAGUGAUUGGAUCUACUCUCUACAGUCUGUUCUGACUCCUAUAACUAUCUGAGCAACAUGUUUUGUUUCCCCCCCCCUGAAUGAUGCACCUUAUUAUUUAUCAUUUGGCACAGAUUGAAUUUUCAAUCAUCUUCCACUCCAAAUGAAGAUUUACGUCUCAUGUUAGGGACCAAGCUUUGACCUCAAGGAUAGUGAGUCGAGAUGUCCACCCUCCAUAUACUAGAUAGACAUGCCCCAACAUCGGCCACCAUGUCUAUCUAGUAAAAUGUACAAGAUCCCUAGCUAUAGAUUAUUUUCAAUCUCAGAGACAUUUACUAACAGAGAAAAUAUAUCAUAGUAUCCGAUUAUGAGUGUCGCACGUGUGCAGCGUCGCGGCGAAAAUAACAUAGUUGUUUGUUUUCAUUUUCUUAAUCUACAAUGUAAAUCUAUCUAUAUCUAUGGGGAUACAAGAAAAUACUGUCUUUUAUUGGUAGAAAAUGGAAUGGGAGUCGCCACCUAGUAUUUUGGUCACUAGGAACCCUAACUGGUCUCAGAGAUCGGGUACGGGGACUGGUUGCGUAAAGAAAAGGUAUUAGCACCCCAAAUACGCCCUAUCUAAGGUAAGCUGCAUUGUUUUAUUGUCUGAUAAAAUCUAAGGUCUUUUCGUGUUUUCCUAGUUGCUUGUAUGGUUUAAGAAAAGUCCUCCCCUGUAAGGAGAUCCUUAUCUUAAAGGGUAAUCCUAACCGUUCUAACUUCUAUACCAAAACUUUAUUAAUAGUAUUUAGGAAUACGUUUUACAUAUAAAUUCGUAAUCCCAAAUACUACAAGAAAACAAAAAGAUUUUUUUAGAAUUUUUGAAAUAUUGGCCUAAUUCUCAUGGCUUGAAUAAACUGGUUAUUAAAGCCAAAAUGCAUGCUAAUACAUAUAUUGUUUUGAGAAUUUUCUUUGUUGUGUGAAAAUAUGAUGUUAUAAUAUUUAUAUAUAUAUAUUGGAGAGACUAGGCCGUAUUUUAAAACAAAAACAAUUUUUUUUGAAUUUUUUUUUUAUGCUUUGACGAAAAUUGGGUAUUUUAAUAAUGAGUUUGUAUCCUUACGGUAUAAAAAUACUAACCAACAUUAAUCCACCUUAAUAAAAAAUAUGCAGGAAAAAUCAACAAUAUUUUUAAAGAACUUUUGGAAUUUUUUGAAAGUAAAAACAUUUUUUAUUUUGAAAAUCUUUGAUGUUUUGACGAAAACCGGGUAUUUUAAUACUGGAUUUAUAUCUUUACGGUAUAAAAAUACAAACCAACAUUAAGCCAUUUUGACAAAAAUAUGCAGGAAAAUCAAUAAUAUUUUUCAAGAUUUUUUAGAAUAUAUUUUUUAAAAUAUACAUACAUAUAUAAUAUAAUAUAAUAUAUAAUAGUAUAUAAUAUAAUAUAUUAUGUGGGCCGGCCCGGCCCAACCGAAUGGGCCAGACUCAGCCCAGCAGGAAUGGGGCCGAUUUCGGCCCAGAAUGGAUUGGGCCGAUCUCGGCCCAAUAAAAAACUCAUAUCUAGGCCGGACUUGGCCCAUAUAGCUGGGAUGGGCCAGACCUGGUCUAGCCCAUCAAACACAGGGAUGGGCCAGACCCAGUCUGGCCCAAAAAAAUGCUGGGCCAGGAUCCGCCUGGCCCAGCUACGCAUCGUCAGGGGGGAAAUUAUUUCCCCCCUCCUCCUGCAUGCAGAACGUUCGUUCUGCAUGCAGGGAAACAAAUUAAAAUGCCAACAGCUAGGGGGGAGAAGAAGUUACCUGGCGUGGAAGAGGCGGUCGCGGGUGGUGCUGCGGUGGAGGCCGGUGGUCGUCGUGGCUCACGGACGGCGGCUCCCAGCGGCGGUGCUGCUGCUCAAACGGCGAAAAAAAGAUUUUCUUCCUCUUCCCCUCUUCUUUUUUUCGUUUUCGGUAUUUCUUUCUUUUCCUUCCUUUCUCUUUGUUUUCUGUUUUCUUUUCUUUUGUUUUCGAUUUAUUCUUUCCUCUUUUCUCUCUCUCUUCGGUCUCCUCUCUCUCUCCUCCCUUCGGUCCGUUUUUUUUCCUUUUCUUUUUGUUCUCUCUUUAUAGGUGAGAAAAGGCGUUGGGACCGUUAUUAGUGCGCCUGGGGAGCGGGUUUCGCGGCGGCUGGUCGGCCGCCACCCGCGACAGCAAGGCACCGUUCCUUUACUUUCGGCCGGUGGUCGGCCAAUGACUUCGGUCGGUGGUCCCACGGUGUGGGGCUUCGGGCUGUUCGGUGGAGAUGCAGAGGAGAGAGGGGUGGGAAGAUUUUCAAAAACAAAGUUUUCUUCCUUCUGUUGCAGGUUCGGGGGGAGGGGAAGAAGAAAGGGGAACAGUGUCGUUCAAAACGGCACCGUUCAGUCUUUUUUUUUUUUUUUUUUAUGUAUGAAACAACGUCGUUUUGGAGAAAACGCGCCGUUUCAUUUAAAAAUGGCCCUAGAACGCGCCAAAUUUCCAACUUAGGCCUCAAUCAUCUUUGUUCAUUUCAAUUGCGUCCCUGCCAAUUUCGAUCCCCGCCCCCAUAGUUGGCCGCGAUUUUCACUUUGGUCCUUGGCCUCUGAUUUAUGCAAUUAAGCCCUCAAUUGAUCAAUAAGCUUCCAAUUUCUUCAAUUAGGCCCCUGAAUCAAUUCAAAACAGCCCCCCCUCUAUUUACCCGCUUUUUCCAAAUUGGUCUCUGGUUUCGAAUUUUCACAAUUAAACCCCUAAUUGGCCAUUAAACUUCAAUAUUUAUGCAAUUAAGCCCCUGAUUUGACCCAAUAAAUUCCUAAAAAAUAUAUUUUGGCCCCAGAACUUAAAUUUCUUCUAAUUAAAGCCCAAAUUGACUUAAAAAUCGAUUUUUCUUGCAAUCAAAUCCUCUAUAAAUUCAAAUAAAAAUCCAAUUAAGUCCAUAAACAUCCAAAUUUGAACUUUUCUCCUCAAACUUCCAAUUUUCUUAUCCAAUAGGGCUCUCAUCAUUCAAGAAUAUAUUGUCAAAAAUCCAUCUUUGUAUUUUUAAUCUCCUUGACCGAUUUUUCUGACCAUUUGCUGAGCGCUUCUGCCUCCUGAUAUUUUUCUAACCUCCUUUGGCUAUUUAUUUUAUUUCAUUUAUUUGGGGACCCGAAAAUGGGUUACAACAAUGAGCACAUGAUUUCUUCGUAUCAGCAUCUGAUUUAUAAAAUAUUGAAACCAAUUUUUAAAGUUGAAAUUCUUUACCUUUGUCGCACCCCCACAAAAAAACAAAUUUCAAUUUGCGAUUUUACGGGUUCGACUGGCGAAUUUUUAUUUUUUGGUUUGAUUUGGUUCUUUGGAGUCGCCACCUAGUAUUUUGAUCACUAGGAACCUUAACUGGUCUCAGAGAUCAGGUACGGAGACUGGUUGCGUAAAGGGAAGGUAUUAGCACCCCAAAUACGCCUUACCUGAGGUAAACUGCAUUGUUUUAUUGUCUGAUAAAAAAAAAACUAAAGUGUUAUUAUGUUUUUCUAGUUGUUGGUCUGUCUAUGGUUCAAGAAAAAUCCCCCUCGGUAAGGAGGUCUUUAUCUUAUCGGGUAAAAAUCCUAACCGUUCUAACGUCCAUACCAAAAUUUUAUUAAUAAUAUUUAGGAAUACGUUUUACGUAUAAAUUCGUAAUCCCAAAUAUUAAAAGAAAACAAAAAGAUUUUUUUUAGAAUUUUUGAAAUAUUGGCCUAGUUCUCAUGGCUUGAAUAAACUGGUUAUUAAAGCCAAAAUGCAUGUUAAUACAUAUAUUGUUUUUUGAAAAUUUUCUUUGUUGUGUGAAAAUAUGAUGUUAUAAUAUUUAUGUAUAUAUAUUGGAGAGACUAGGCCGUAUUUUAAAACAAAAACAAUUUUUGGAAAAUAUUAUUUUUUUUAUGCUUUGACGAAAAUCGGGUAUUUUAAUACUGAGCUUGUAUCCUUACGGUAUAAAAAUACAACCCAAUAUUAAUCCAUUUUGAUAAAAAUAUGCAGAAAAAUCAACAACAUUUUUAGGGACUUUGUAGAAUUUUUUGAAAGCAAAACAUUUUUUAUUCUGAAAAUCUUUGAUAUUUUGACGAAAACCGUGUAUUUUAAUACCAGAUUUGUAUCUUUACAAUAUAAAAAUACAAACUGAUAUUGACCAAAAUACAGUAAUAAAAUUACAGAAAAAUCACAAAUUCUUUGAAAUAUCUUUUUUUGAAAAUUUUUUAUUUUUUUUUAUAUAUAUAUAUAUAUUUUUUUGGGUGAGGCCCACGUGGCUGGGCUGCACCCAGCAAGCCUCAUGUGAACAGUGAAUCAUGUCUUAUGUGAACAGUGAAUAGCAUUUCACUGUUCAAUUGAAUUAUAUUUGAUGUGAACAGUGAAUUAACAUUUCACUUGAACAGUAAAAUGCAAGGAAAUGGUGCAUGCACAGCGACGAAAGGGGGUGCAAACCUGGUGGCAGAAACGAUGCCGAAGUCGAUGGCUAACACUCCCAGUGAUGCUGGUGGCGGUGGACAGGAAGCCAAUGGGGGUUCACGGUGGUUCUGACGGUGGCAGUGGUUGGGAAGCUCGAUGACAGCAGCUGCCUUCUCUUCUUCUUCCCCUUUACAGAGGCGUUUCUUCUUCUCUUGGUUUCUUUCAGUCAGCAAUGUUCUUCCCUCUCUAUGGCAGCUUUGUGAAGGCGCUGGUAGUGGUGGCCGGGGAGUGACUGGGACGGUGGUCGGUGACUGUGGAGUGUGGUGUUCAGCCUUUCUCCCUUUUCUUCUCUGCGUUCCUCUUCAGCUGUCUCCUCCUCUGUGUGCUGGGUUGGGCGCUAUUUAUAGAGCCAGUGGGCGUGGCUUCACCGUGGAGCCAAGGAGCGGGUCGGGGAGCGGCUCAUGUGAACAGUGAAUAGUAUUUCACUGUUCACGUGAAUUAUAUUUGAUAUGCACAGUGAUCUUAGCAUUUCACUGUUCACGUGAAUUAUAUUUGAUAUGCACAGUGGACUAGCAUUUCACUGUUCACGUGAAUUAUAUUUCACUUGAACAGUGAAAUGCAAGGAAAUGGUGUAUGCAGAACGACUUCCAAUUUUAAGAAUAAAAUUCAAUUGCGUCCCUGCCAAAUUCGAUCCCUACCCCUAUAGUUGGCCGCGUUUUUCAUUUUGGUCCUUGGCCUCUGAUUUUCACAAUUAAACCCCUAAUUGAUCAAUAAGCUUCCAAUUUCUUCAAUUAAACCCCUGAAUCAAUUCCAAACAGCCCCCUUUAUCUUUGCGCCUUCUCCAAAUUGGUCCCUGGUUUCGGAUUUUCACAAUUAAGUCCCUAAUUGGCCAUUAAACUUCAAUAUUUAUGCAAUUAAACCCCUGAUUUGACCCAAUAAAUUCCUAAAAAAUAUAUUUUGGCCCCAAAACUUAAAUUUCUUCUAAUUAAAGCACAAAUUGACUUAAAAAUCAAUUUUUCUUGCAAUCAAAUCUUCUAUAAAUUCAAAUAAAAAUUCAAUUAAGUCCAUAAACAUCCAAAUUUGGGCUUUUCUCCUCAAAAUUCAAAUUUUCCUUCUCAAUAGGGCUUUCAUCCUUCAAGAAUAUACUGUCAAAAAUUCAAUCCUUGUAUUUUUAAAUUCCUUGACCAAUUUAUCUAACUGUUUUCUGAGCGCUUCUGCCUCCUGUUAUUUUCUAACCUCUUUUGGCUAUUUAUUUUAUUUUUCAUGGGGACCCAAAAAUGGGUUACAACAACCUUGUUAUCACAUUGAUCAUCCCAUUAAUUUCCCCUUCAUGAUAUCCUUAAAUAAGAAAAAGCUUAGGGUAUGUGCAACUGUCCUGAAGCUCUUAGACAAUCCAGGAGAAAAAAUUUAUUUGGCACAUCAUAUAUUUCCUUGGACGGUCGUUCAUAAAUCGUAUAUGCUAAAUGUUUUACAUACUCUAAUUAUAACAAAUGAUUAUGUAUGACAGUUCACAUUCUCCUGCAUGAAAGCUCUAUGUACCCAUUAUCUUGGUGACAAUUGACAAGUCGCCGAUGCAAUUCUGCAAUUAUAUUAGAAUGCAAGGAUGAUAUAUUUAUUUAGGAUUUUAUAAAUUAUCCCAUGGCUGUGUAUAUUCAAUAAUUUUGUUUAAUGAUUACAGCCCCACAUCAGUUUCUUGUUCGAGGCUUUUCGGGCCUUCAAUUGAACCUAAACAAAAACAAACUAUUCCAACAUGAACACGAAACAAAGCCGAAGAAGCUAUGGGCUUAAUUAAGCCUUUUUAUACGAGCAAGACGAAUCAGCACGAGAUUUCAAAUUCCUGCAAGAAUUACUAGAACCCACAAACGUGGCAACUCAAGGGCCUCAUCAUCCAAAACCAAAAUGCAAGUACUCCCCUAAAAGAUAAGAUUGUAGGGUUGUACAGGUCUCCUUCUGCAAUUACUUGUCAAGUCCUCCAACUAUUGCCUAAUUCUUAAUCAAGUCCCUCAAUCCAAAUUGGAUAUCCAUCACACAUUAUCCAAUUCACCCGUCACCAUAAAAAAAAUUAAAAAUUGAAAUAACUAAUUUGUUUAAGAUGGAUGGUUCUAUGGUUCUGAUUUACAAAUCUUGAGAUCAAACUUAGAAUCCCAUGAAAGUCUUUGGUUUAGAAUAAAUAAAUCAUCUCUUUUUAGAUUAAAAGUUACUUCUAACACGAUAAUAAAAAAUAGUUAAGUCUAGUUUUAUGAUUUUAAAGAAAAACAUUUAAAAUCAAAAGUCAGUUUAAAAAAGAUCACGAGUAAUUCAUUCUAAAUAUUUACAGUAAACGGAGCCAGAAUUUCAAGAGCCUUUGAUUAUUAAAAUUAACACCUCACUUAAAAUCCAAACAAAUUUAGAAACGCGAGAAAGUCGUUCAGAUAAGGCUGAAAAAAGAAAAAAGAAACCAACGAUUUUUCAAUCUUCCCGCUUAUUGCUUAAUCAAGCAGAGAUGGUGGUUGCUUAGAUUUUCUCCUUCAAUUAUAGUUUAUCGUUCAGUUUCAACCAUAAACAGGCAAGACUCCCACGAAUCCAGGCUGUUUUCGGACACCAAUUAAGAAAUCUGAGAUAUCUCUUCACAUUGCCCUCAAUUAUUUGGUUGUGUCAUCUAGCAGGGCUCUUCUGAGAACGAUAGAGAUUUCUUUGGAUCUGAUGAUUUUGGUCUGAAGCCAAUCAGAACGGAAUCCACAUCAACAACGAAUACUUUCCAGAAAAAGAGUAUAUUUUUUGAAGAAUCUGUUGCAGGUUCCCCAAUGUCAAGAUUUGGCAACUCUCCAAGGUUCAGCGAAGCAGGGGACCAUUUUGACAAUUACUCGAGAUUUGAUUCCUUCAGCAUGAAUGAAGGAGGCUUUUCACCACGAGAAAAGCUUACAAGGUUCGACUCCAUAAACAGCUCCAAAGAUUUUGGCCACAGCCGUGCAUUCUCUUCAUUUGGGUUUUGCAUGUCGGAUUUGGCCCCGAUUUGAUGAUUUUUUGGGUGAAUCUAUUUUAUCUAUAACGUAGUAAGUAAAUAGCUAUUCCCGGAAUAAUAAAGGAAUGUUGAAGUUGAUUCGGCUUUUCCCGGGGAAAAGAUAAAAAGAUCAUUCCUUCUGUAUUUUGGAAUGCUAGAUAUAGGUACGGUGCUCGUAUUGUUUGUUUUCUUCACUAGAGUUUACUGCCCAACAUAAUUCCUGCUUCUUUAUUUUAUUUUCCCCGAAGAAGUUUAUAUAUGGGCAUGGUGCUCAUCAAAUGCAAUAGAUUUUGGAAAUGUAAACAAAAGUAUUUUCUGACAUUACGAGAGGGCUACGGUGCUUGUGCUGGAGUUUACUGCCCCACCUAUCAAAUUGCAGUGGUCAUAUGCAAAGAAAAGUCACUAAAAAGAGCAUCAUCAAUAUUCCAAGAAAGAUGGUCCUUCCAUAAUCAUCGAGUUAAUGGACCACAUACCGACACUGACAUUAAUUGUGUUUUCUUGUAGAAACAGAAAUGGGCCUUCUUCUUAUUACCAUAGGCAUGCUAAUGUGGCUGAUAUUUUUCCAGGACAUUAAACCAUGUCUGGUUGCUCUCCCAAUACUGACAAUCUUGACUCAAACUACUUCAAGGAAAGUUUGCCCAUUGCAUGCUCUUGGAAGCAGCCGGAUUAUCUACUCUAUUUAUGAAACAAAGGGAAUACAAGACGUGGAAUGAGUCCAUGAAAAAGCCAUGGACGUAAAGGUUUCAAAUUGCACAUCAUAGUAGGAACCGAACCAUGGACAUUAUUUGAACUGAGAUCUAAUGUUUUCAAAUUUUCCAUGUUCCUAUUUCAUAAAGGAUGGAUCCGUUGAUUUUAUUGAAAGAAAGGUCAAUAUAUCUCAAACUGGUUAAACUGUCUACUCUGGAAUGAAUGGAACCACUGAUAAUGUUUGAAUCGGGAUCUAUGGCUUCCAAAUUUGCCAAGUUUCAUAUUUUCAAAUGGAUGUAUCCGUUGAUUUGAUUGGAAUAAGGCUUUAGAUAUCUCAAAAUGGUUAUACUAAGGUUGUUAAUUUUAUUUUGUUCUAUCCGGAAUGACCGGUAUUCUUGUUCCAGUUAAAAAAACAAAAUAAACCGAAAUAAAUUUCAUGUCAAUCAGAAUCUUGGCCUGUUCUUGAAAUAAAUCGGCCUGUUUUAUUUGGUGUUAUCCUGGUCUCAGUAUCUGGAUCAUAAAUUAGAAAUAUUAACCUGAGUCGAUCUAAUAUGUUCUCGUCUUAAUAUUUUUUAAGAAAAAAUAUACAGUCUUGAAUUUUUUUUAGUCAAACGAUAUUUUUAUCAAUCGUCCAUAUUGUCUUCAAACCUAUUUAGUUGAUCGGGUCAUAUUCAUUCAACUCUUAUUUUUUUUACUUGUGUUUAAAAUUUAAAAAACAUAAUUUCAAGUUAGUUUUUUAAAUUGUCUAAUGAAAAAGGAAUCGAACAAGUGAUGUAGAGAAAGUCCAUACAAAUUCUUCGAAUUCCCAAUUUCUGAAGGGAUCGAACCUGUAAUCUUGAAAGACUGAUGUAGUUGUGGUGUAGAGAGAGUCCAAAACCGGUGUUUAUUGUCUAGCUUACACUGGUAAGCAAUUCAUAGCACCAAAAAUUAAGAACUGAAGAAAUGCAAUGCCAAUUGUCAUGGUGAAGCAGCGUCAAAUAAAAUGGAACUUGAACAGUGUGAGUUCAUGGGUGAAAAUGAGAGCAUGAAAUUUCACCACCAUUGUUUUCUCGUACUUCUCAGUUUGUUUUUAUUGGUCUCAACAAUCUGUCACUCAAAAGAACAGGCAUUCUAUUUUUGAUCACGAACAGUAGCAUUUGAAAACUAAGAAGGCCAGGCAGUCAAUCCAUCCUUUCAUGAAAAAUAAUCGCUCGCGUCUUGGAGACCAUGUUUGCGUCUAAUGCUUGCCUGCGAAAUUUAUGAAUGAAUUAAGUGCAUGGUUUUUUCAUGGACUCAUUCCACGUCUUGUAGGCCCUUUGUUUCAUAAAUAGAGUAGGCUAGUUACAUGUCCCGCGCGAUGCCGCGGGUCAAUUAUUUUUUAUAUUUUUUAAAAAACUAAAAUUUGAAAGUGUUAGGUCUUUUUACAAAAUUAUACCCAAAAGUCUUAGGUUUGGUUGCAACGCCUAAACCAAGAGUAAUAUCUAUAAUAUUAAUAAUAACAUUAAACUUGCAUGACCCAAAUUUAAGUAGGUUUGGCUACAAUACCAGACCUAAUAGCAUUGGACGUGGGUCUAGUUGCAAGGGUGUGUCAUAAAAAUGUGAUAAUUAAAUAGAUUAAUUAAAAAGAAAAAGACAGAAAAAAAAACCAACAGAAAGAAAAAAACUAAUGAAGAAAAAGAAAAAAAAUAUAUGCAUUAACUAGGUUAACCCUUCAAACCAGGUUAACCCGUCAAACCUUAGAUUCACGUCGUAAAAGUUUGAUAACUAAAUAGGAAAAAACAAAUUAAUGGGUUAACCCAGAAUUAACCGGGCUAACUCGUCAAAUCAGGUUAACCCGUCAAACCCGGAAUCCGUGUCAUGAAAGUUUAAUAACUAAAUAGAAAAAAAAAUUUAACAUUAACAAUUUAAAUUAAACAAAAAAAUUAAUUAAAAAGAAAAAAAAACAAAAAAAAACUAAAGGCAUCAGCCUUUUAACCGUGGACUGCACUGUGCAAUCCAUAGUCAAAUGCAUAAAAAAAAAAAAAAAAAAAAAAAAAACUAAAGACAUCAGCCGAGAACUAUAUAGAAAAAAAUUUAAUAUUAAUAAACUAAAUUAAUUAAAAAGAAGAAAACCUCUAAGAAGUAAAAAAAAUACUAAAUAGAAAAAAAUUUAACAUUAACAAAUUAAACUAAACGAAAAAAAAAUUAAAAAGAUAAAAAAAGCAAAAAAAACAAUUUAAGGUUAACUCGGCAAACCAGGUUAACCAGUUAAAUCUGGGAUUCGUGUCAUGAAUAUUUGAUAACUAAAUAAAAAAAAAGUGAACGUUAACAAACUGAACUAAACAAAAAAAAUUAAUUAAAAUGAAAAAAAAAUUUGGGUUAACUCGUCAAACCAUGUUAACCCGUUAAACUCAGGAUCUGUGUCAUGAAAGUCUGAUAACUAAAUAAAAAAAUUAACAUUAACAAACUAAAUUAAACAAAAAAAAUAUAUGAAAAAAAAAAAACAAAAUUGACGGGUCAACCUAGAAUUAACUGAGUUCACCCGUGAAACCAGGUUAACCCGUGAAACUCGAGAUAUAUGUUAUGAAAGUCAGAUAACUAAAUAUAAAGAAAUUUAAUAUUAACAAACUAAACUAAACAAAAAAAAAGCAAAAAAAUAAUUUCUAAGUUAACUUGUCAAACCAGGUUAAUGUGUUAAACUCAGAAAACAUUUCAUGAAAGUUUGAUAACUAAAUAAAAAAAAUUUAACAUUAAUAAACUAAAUUAAACAAAAAAAAAGAAUUUGUUAAAAGAAAAAAAAAAGAAAGAAAAAAAAAAAUAAUCCCGAAAUGCAUUAAAAAAAACAACUAAAAAAAUAAGACAACUUAAAAAAAAAACUAGUAUAUGUUACAAUAAUCCGGUUGCUUCCAAGAGCAUGCAAUGGGCAAACUUUCCUUGAAGUAGUUUGAGUCAACAUCGUCACUAUUCGCCCCCGCGCGCGCGCGCACCCAACUGAACUUGCACGUCAAUGUAGACUAAUAAUCAGCUUGUCCUAGCCUACAAGUCGAGUCCAACCUAACCAAUCUACUGUUAUUGUAAAAAAAUAAAAUUCAUAAGAAUUUAUAAUACAAAUAAUAAUAUGUUUUCAAUAUUAAUAAUAAUAUUUUCUUUCAAAUUUAUUAAUUUUUUUUAUUAAUAAUAUUAAUUAUAAUAAAAAUAAUAAUAUUUAUAAUACAAAUAAUUAUAUUUAGAAUCCUAGGACUGAGCGCCAAGUAGCUAUAGCCUGAAGGGGUGGCCAGUGGAUGUUGCAUGCCCAGCGCCCAAGGUAGCCAAGCGCUAGGUGUCCGCAACCUCAGUAGGCACGCCUCUAGCCUGAUGCUUGCAGCUUGAUAGUCGCAGCCUCACACAUGUUCCUGUUAAACAGUGCUGUACAUAAUAAAAAUUUAUAGUACUCCGUGCUACAGUAUGUAACAUUAUAAUCUAUAAUGAAUUCACUUACUUUGCACAAUAGCCUGCACUAUGGUAAAAUACUGAUAAGUAUUAGUAAGAGGAUAGCUUUUCCUGGAAUAAUAAUUGAAUGCUGAAGUUGAUUCGGCUUUUUCCGGGGAAAAGAAAAAAGAUAAUUCCUUCUGUAUUUUGGAAUGCUAGAUAUAGGUAUGGUGCUCGUAUUGUUUUCUUCACUUGAGUUUACUGCCCCACAUAAUUCCUGCUUCUUCAUUUUAUUUUCCCCGAAGAAGUUUAUAUAUGGGCAUGGUGCUCAUCAAAUGCAAUAAUAGAUUUUGGAAAUUUAAACUAAAGUAUUUUCUGACAUUACGAGAGGGCUACGGUGCUUGUGCUGGAGUUUACUGCCCCACCUAUCAAAUUGCAAAGAAAAGUCACUAAAAAAGAGCAUCAUCAAUAUUACAAGAAAGAUGGUCCUUCCAUAAUCAUCGAGUUAAUGGACCACAUACCGACACUGACAUUAAUUGUGUUUUCUUAUGGAAUCACACUAUUGCCGCUCCCAACACGGCAAAGUGACUAAGGUGGUGAUUUUUGUUGUGGUAGCUGGAGGUGGAGGAGGAGUGAGGGAGGUUGGUGUGAUGGAUAUGGAGUUACCAGUACACUACUAGUUGUGCUCUCAUCUAAGCAGCUUCGAUCCAUUUCUUUUUUUUCUUUUCAAAUAAAAAUGCAAUUGAUACUGUAAAAUUAGAGAGGUUUUUUUUUUUUUAAAGCAAAAAAAAUACUAUUUAGCCGGAACGGAACCGGAAUGCUCUAGCCAAAAUUUAAUCGAAAUAUUUUGUCUGAGAUUUUCAAAAUAGAUCGAGAUUCGGAUUAGAUGAAAUUUAUUUUGGUUUAUUUUGUUUUUUAAAGUGGAACAAAAAUACCAUUCAUUCCGAAGAGAACAUAAUAGAAUUAACAAUCUUAAUAUAAUUAUUUUGAGAUAUCUAAAACAUUAUUUCAAUCAAAUCAACGAAUCCAUCCCUUUAAAAAUAUAAAACUUGGCAAAUUUAGAAGCCAUAGAUCUCUAUUCAAAUAAUAUCAGUGGUUCCAUUCAUUCCAGAGUAGGCAAUUUAUCCAAUUUGAGAUAUAUUAACCUUUUUUCCGAUCAAAUCAACAGAUCCAUCUUUUAUGAAAGAGUGAACAUGGAAAAUUUGAAAACAUUAGAUCUCAGUUCAAAUAAUCCGGUUGCUUCCAAGAGCAUGCAAUGGGCAAACUUUCCUUGAAGUUGUUUGAGUCAAGAUCGUCACUAUUCGCCCCCGCGCGCACGCGCACCCGACUGACCUUGCACGUCAAUGUAGACUAAUAAUCAGCUUGUCCUAGCUUACAAGUUGAGUCCAACCUAACCAAUCUACUGUUAUUGUAAAAAAAAAAAAAAAAAAAAAGCAAUCCAAUUCCCAAUUCAAUAUAUACAGAAUCUAUAAAAAUUAAAAAUAUUACAUUGCAGCUACGAUUAUCUCUGGAAAAAAGUUUAAGAAAAAAAAGUAUACUUGCAUUAUUUACAAAUUAAAAUUUAAAAGCUGUUUGAAAACAUAGUUGAAAUUAUGUUUUUUUAAAAAUAAUUUUUUAUUUAAUUAUUUUUCUAAUAAAAAAUUUGAAUGUGGUGAAAAUAUAAAAAUUAACUUUUUUAUAUUAUUAAAUUGUUUUGAUGUGAUGAUGUGAAAAAUAAUUUUUUAAUAAUAAAAUUUUAUUAUUUUAAUAUAUUUUCAAACAAAAAAUAUUUUAAAAAAUAAUUAUUAACAUAAUCACAAAUAUGAAAUUUUCUUGCUUACUUUCGAAUCCAAAAUCUUGACCUUCAAUGAAAAUCAUGUCUCAAAAUUUUUUAUCAUGGUUCCUUGCUGAAAAUGCACAGGAUAUCAACAAACCUUCAAUGCACAUAAAUGUAGGAGAGAUAAUGUUUUCACUAUUUCAACUUAAAUCUACAAGACAUGGGCAGUACGAUGAUCAGAAUACGACUAUGUAUUAGCAUUAUUUUUCUACUCGGUCUCUUUCCACGAAAAUCAGGGAGAAUAGAAUAGAAUUAACUGCUGGCCUUCUUAAUUCCCAAAAUCCACUAUUGGUGAUUUGUAAGCCUUUUUCUUAAUCACAACGCGUGAAAGACCAGACGAUCUUGACUUGGAACGAGUCCAUGGGAAUUGAUGCCAUGCACUUUAUUAAUAAAUUUAGCAUUAUCAUUGAAGUGAAGCAUUAGACACAAACAUGGCGUCCAUUGUUUAUGAGCCAAAACUUCUUGCAAUUUUAAGCAUCUCAUUUUUCUUGUCCUGUAUUUUUGUAUCUGUGGCUGCACGUGAUGACUCGGCCUUGCUAGCAUCAGAAGGCAAGGCUUUGCUUGAGAGUGGAUGGUGGAGUGACUACAGCAACCUCACCUCACAUCGUUGCAACUGGACUGGCAUACUCUGUGAUCGGGCUGGAAGCAUCACUGAGAUUUCCCCACCUUAUCUAGUGGGAAAUAAGUUUGGAAAGAUGAACUUUUCUUGCUUCUCAAACCUUGCCCGUCUCGACCUGGCCAACCAUGAGCUCAGUGGGAGCAUCCCGCCUCAAAUUUCUAUCCUUCCUCAACUCAGAUACCUCAACCUGUCCUCAAAUAAUCUAGCAGGUGAGUUACCGUCUUCACUUGGAAAUCUCAGCCGAUUGGUUGAGCUUGAUUUUUCUUCCAAUUAUCUCAACUAUUCCAUCCCUCCAGAACUAGGCAAUCUUAAAAAUCUUGUUACUUUGAACUUGUCUUAUAACAGCUUCAGCGGCCCAAACCCUUCGGCACUUUGUCAUUUGGACAAUCUAACGCAUUUAUUUAUGGAUCAUAAUAGUCUCGAAAGUGCCCUCCCUAGAGAAAUAGGGAACAUGAGAAAUCUAGAGAGUUUGGACGUGAGUUAUAAUACACUUAAUGGUCCAAUCCCUCGAACAUUGGGUAGGUUAGCCAAGUUGAGGUCUUUGAUCAUUCGUUAUGCCAAAAUCAGUGGAUCCAUUCCUUUGGAAAUAGGAAAUUUGACCAACCUUGAAGAGUUAGACCUCUCUCACAACCAAAUCAACGGAUCCAUCCCUUUGGAAAUACAAAACUUGACAAAUUUCUUUUUAUCCAAUUUGAUUCUUCUAGAUCUUUCAUACAACCAAAUCACCGGUUUGAUUCCUUUUUCAUUAGGCAAUUUAACAAACUUGGCAAGGCUAGACCUCUCUCACAACCAAAUCAACGGAUCCAUCAUUGUAGAAAUACAGAACUUGACAAAUUUGGAGGAAUUAUAUUUGAAUUCAAACAAUAUCAGUGGUUCAAUUCCUUCAACUUUGAGCCUUUUAUCUAAUUUGAUUCUUCUAGAUCUUUCCUACAACCAAAUCACCGGUUUGAUUCCUUUUUCAUUAGGCAAUUUAACAAACUUGGCAAGGCUAAACCUCUCUCACAACCAAAUCAACGGAUCCAUCCUUGUAGAAAUACAGAACUUGACAAAUUUAGAGGAAUUAUAUUUGAAUUCAAACAAUAUCAGUGGUUCGAUUCCUUCAACUUUGAGCCUUUUAUCCAAUUUGAUUUUUCUAGAUCUUUCCUCCAACCAAAUCACCGGUUUGAUUCCUUUUUCAUUAGGCAAUUUAACAAACUUGGCAAGGCUAAACCUCUCUCACAACCAAAUCAACGGAUCCAUCCUUGUAGAAAUACAGAACUUGACAAAUUUGGAGGAAUUAUAUUUGAAUUCAAACAAUAUCAGUGGUUCGAUUCCUUCAACUUUGAGCCUUUUAUCCAAUUUGAUUUUUCUAGAUCUUUCCUACAACCAAAUCACCGGUUUGAUUCCUUUUUCAUUAGGCAAUUUAACAAACUUGACAACUCUAUACUUCUCUCACAACCAAAUCAACGGAUCCAUCCCUUCAUCUUUGAAGUAUUGUAAUAAUUUGUUCUCCCUAGAUUUAAGCUUCAAUAAUUUAAGUGAAGAGAUACCCUCCGAACUAUAUGGUUUGACCUAUUUAAAAUAUGUGAAUUUUCGUUACAAUAACCUCUCAGGCUCUGUUUCCUUCCAUUGGCUACAACUCUUUCAUGUGUAUUUCACCUGUGAUUCUCUUCAUAGCCAAAGAACCAACAAUCCUGAAAUUUUUCAAGAUACUGCAUUUGAGGGCAAUAAAGAUUUACACCCUGAUUUCUCACGUUGUCUAUCUAUUUACUCCCCACCUUCACAAACCUACUUGUUACCUUCAAAAGACAACAUAAGGAUUCAUUCCAUCAAGAUAUUUCUUCCUAUCACCACCAUUUCACUUUGUCUCUUGUGCCUCGGAUGUUGUUAUCUGUCUCGACGCAAGGCUACCCAACCCGAGCCAGCAUCAUCAAAGAAUGGAGACUUGUUUUCCAUAUGGAAUUAUGAUGGGACGAUUGCAUACGAAGACAUCAUUGCAGCGACCAAGAACUUUGACCUCAGAUACUGUAUCGGAACCGGUGGUUAUGGGAGCGUCUACCGAGCACAACUUCCAAGUGGGAAAUUAGUUGCCUUGAAGAAACUUCAUCGUCGAGAGGCAGAGGAGCCGGCUUUUGACAAGAGUUUCAAAAAUGAGGUGGAAGUGCUCACACAAAUACGUCACAGGAGCAUUGUAAAGCUUUAUGGAUUUUGUUUGCACCAGCGCUGCAUGUUUCUUGUUUACGAGUACAUGGAAAAGGGAAGCUUGUUUUGUGCCUUGAGAAAUGAUGUUGGAGCUGUGGAAUUGAAAUGGAUGAAAAGAGCAGGCAUCAUCAAAGACAUUGCUCACGCAUUAUCUUACUUGCAUCAUGACUGCAACCCGCCAAUUGUUCAUCGAGACAUAUCAAGCAGCAAUGUUCUGUUGAAUUCAGAAUCCAAGUCUUUUGUUGCUGAUUUUGGCGUGGCUAGACUUCUCGAUCCUGAUUCGUCCAACCAUACUGUACUUGCUGGUACCUAUGGAUACAUUGCCCCAGGUAAAAAUAUUUCUUCUUAACAUGCAUAUUUACCACUCAUGCACUGUAAAACUAAAGCAAACUCUCUUUUAAAUAUAUAUAUUAAUUUCGUUUUGUAUAUGGACAGAGUUUGCUUAUACUAUGGUGGUGACAGAGAAAUGUGAUGUGUACAGCUUCGGAGUUGUGGCGCUUGAAACUUUGAUGGGUAGGCAUCCGGGAGAUGUCCUAUCAUCAUCUGCUCAGGCUAUUACAUUGAAAGAAGUGUUAGAUCCUCGUUUGCCACCUCCAACAAAUGAGAUUGUCAUACAGAAUAUAUGUACCAUUGCAAGUCUCAUAUUUUCUUGCUUACAUUUAAAUCCAAAAUAUCGACCUUCAAUGAAAUUCGUGUCUCAAGAAUUUCUAUCUCCCAAGAGAUUAUUGGGAGGUCUCGAGAUUUCUUUGUUGGAGCUGCGAAAUCUUGGCUGGCACACAAAUGUAGGUGAGAUCACACUUCCUCGCUGAAAAAGUCAACUUCGAUCUUGCAUGGAACUUCAACGAGAGCCUCCAAGAGCAUGCCUUUAUAGUAUUAACUAUAGCUUUAAAGGUGUUGGAAAAUAAACUGAUCAUCUCUUUUUUCAACAUGGGAGGAUUAACUUGUGCAGCUACCUCACUCCAUCUUCGGGCAUAUUCUCUUAUGGACUCCUUGUUGUUCUUCAUAGCUUGCAAGCUUAACCGAUCAGGGCCCACGUCUAUAUUAAACUUAUAUUGCCUCAUGAAGGCAUCAACUAAGUCCUUCCAUUUUUUAACCUUGGUAUUGUCCAUCCGCAUAUACCAAGUGAGGGCAGCGUCACUCAAGUUGUCUUGGAAGAAAUGAAUCAGCAGUUUCUCAUCAUCAACCACCUCGACCAUUUUGUUGCAGUAUGCUUUAAUAUGAGUUAUAGGGCAUUGAGUUCCCAUAUAUUUGACAAAUUCUGGCACUCUAAACUUUUUAGGAAUGACAAUGUUGGGCACCAAACACAUCUCAGCAGCCUUUAUAGGAUCAUAUAGGCGAAUUCCCUCUAAUGCUCUCAAUCUUUGCUCUAGGGCAACUAAUUUGUUCAUACCAUCUUCUUUUACCCUCUUGCCCGUUAGAGAUUCCUUCUCUGUAGAAUCAAUGGUAAACGCCAUUCUUGUGGGGUAUGCUGGUUGAAAACGCAUGGCUUGUUGAAAAUCAAAUGACAACCCAUUUGCACCCAAAUUAUGUGGAUUGAAGGGAUUUACGAGCAUAGGUUUAGGUUGAGCUAUAAGUGUUGCUUUUCUGGAUUUAUCUCUCAAGGCCUGCUCGAGUAGACUAGUAAGCCUUGUGACUUCUUCCUUAAGAUUGUCCACCUCUUUUUGAUGUUGGGUUUCCAACUGGGCUCUUUCUUCAUUUUUCGAGUGUUAUAGAUGGGUUUCAAUGGGGAACUUAUAUUUCAACCUGCUAAAUGUAAAUCAUGCAAUUAUGCAAGAAUGCUGAAGCAAUUAAAAAAAUACGUAUGAAAUGCGGACUUGCCCUACACGGGAUGACAAAAUAGGAAGAUCCUAAUUGUUGAGUGCAUCAAAGGGUUGGUCAUUAUCUAGUUUUAAAGGGUCUCUCGCAUGCUCAGUGAUCGUCCAUGAAAGGUCGAUAUGAGGCUUACAAGUAGUGUGAAAAUAGAGGCCCUGAGUAAUAUCAGUUUGGCAUAUCAACCACUUCCAAGUAAACAAUCAAGCGAGAGUUGGAUGGUUUCACGAGUCUUACCCAGGCUAAAGCCAUUGGGGUACCGUUACUUCCCCACUUAUCUUAGGAUGUAAAGUGUGUGCUCUUAACGUGAUGCAUGACAAUAUAAACAAGGAUGCAUGCUAAAGCACUAAAUGCAAGAAAAAUAAACAAAUAAACACAACAAAACAAAUAUUAUAGCAAUUGACAAACAAAAGGCAAAGCUUAGUCCAUUAGUCCCCAGUGGAGUCGCCAUUCUGUCACACCCGACAUCGCGGCGACCCUAAAAAUAAUCCUAGAUUAUUUUUAAAGAACAAAUUUCUGGCAUCUUGUUCUUUUCGGAAAAAUGUUUAAUUAAGGAGUAGCCACCUAGUAUUAUGGUCACUAGGAACCCUAACUGGUCAACAGAGAUUCUUUGGUACGGGACUGGUUACGAAAAAGAGAAGAUAUUAUCACCCCUUAAACGUUCUGCCUAAGGCAGACUGCAUUGCUGGUUUUAUCUUAAAUUGCUAAACAUUUAUUCAUUUAUGCUAUGAUGAUUUGUUUAUAAUAUUACUGACUCUGGCGCCAGUGAAUAUUCGAUCUCGAAUAAUUCCAACUCUGGCGUUGGUAAAAAUUCCACCACGAAUAAUUCCAACUCUGGCGUUGGUAAAAAUUCGUAGCCACAAAAAAAUCAGUAUAUUUUCUUUUUCUUCUUCUUUUUUUCCUGAUCCUGAUAUCAGUAAAUAAGUUGACAAAAAUAAAUUUUUUCUAAGACAUGUAAAAUUUUUUAUUUCUAUACUUUCUAUUUUUUUUAAUUUUUUAAUUUAUAUUUGUGUUGGGUCCAGUGACCGGGUUUUACGUUCAACUACAGAAAUAAGAAAGAAUUGAAUUAUAAUUCACUGUAGCAAGUGAAUUAUAAUUCACAGCUACUGUAGCUGUGAAUUAUAAUGCAAAGGAGAGAAGGAAAUACUUACCUGGUUCUGUGCUGCCGGAGGCGAAGAUGAAGAUCCCGCUCGUCGUUCCCCCUCUGUCUUCUCCCUUUUUCUCUUCUGUUUUGGUUUUCCUUGCUCGUUCCUCUACCCCUCUCUGGUUUUCUCGUUCAAAAUCCCCUGCGUAUUCUGCCUCCUUCCUUCUCUUCUUUUUUUCGUCUAUCUUCAUCCCCCAUGUCGUGCAUGGCUUUUUCUUCCCUCGGUUCUGCUCUUUUUCUCUGGUUUUUCGUCAUCUGUCUCUGGUUCUCUCUCUUUUCAGUCUCCUGUGUUCUUCUCUUUUCUUUUUAUUCUGUUCGUUCGUCUCCUCUCUGGUGCUGGAGAUGGUUAAGGCAAUGGUCCCAUCCCUGUAUAGUCUCUGUCUCUCCUGCUUGCGGCCCGUUUGCGUUUCCAGGUCUCCCCGGUUUCCUCCGUUCCUCCUUGUUCGUCUCUGCUUUUUUUUUUCUUUAUUUGGUCUCGGUCUCUCCUGCUCUCAGUUUUCCCCAGGUUUUAGUCUCUCUCCCUGCCGUGCAUGGCUUUUUCUUCUCCCCUCAGCCCCUUGGUUCCGCCUCCUAGUUCUUUUCCCCGGUUUUUUCCAGUUUUUCCCCCCAGUUUUUUUUUUCUUUUUCCCUUUUGUUCUCCUCGGUUCUGCCUUUUCUCCCCUGCUUCUCCCGCUCGUCUAUCAAUCUCUGCGUCUUCCCUAGUCAAGUCGAUGGGGGUUCUUCUCCUGUCUGGGUUCCUGGAGGCUGAAGAGUUGCUGAAGAUGGCGCAGUGAUGGUUAAAACUGCUUCCGUGUCUCUUUUUUCUUUUCCCUAGCCCCCUUGUUCGUUCGUCCCCUCUGUUUCUUUGAGAAGAAACCAGGGGCUCAACGUCUGCUCCUUUUCUUUUCCUUUCGUUCGUGGCUCCCUUUUUUUUUUUUUUUUUUCUUUUUCUCUCUUCUCAGCCCCUUGGUUCCUUUCUUCCAGCCGUUUUUUUCUGGUUUUAUCCUCUCUUCGAAUGCCAUGCGGUCUCAUGCUCUCUGUUUUAAUGCAGGAGUAAAGGCAGCAGUUUUCUCUUUUUCGGGUGAAGAAGAUGAACAGUGUUAAGGUUAUUUUUCAUUUUGGUCCUUGAUGUUUUGAAAGUUUUGUAAUCAAGCCCUUGGUUAAAACAUAAUUGGGUCCUUGCUUUUCUGUGCCAUUUUCAAGUUGGUCCUUGGAUUUUAAUUUUUGCAAUUUGGACCCCAAUUAAACCCCAAACUUUGAUAUUUCUUCAAUUAAGUCCCUGAUUGGAUUCAUUAAAUUAAUUUCAAGCGUAAUUAAAUCUCAAAACUUAUCAAUUCUCCAAUUCAACCCUUGAUUGGAGUAAUUAAAUUAAUUUCGAGCUUAAUUAAGUCCCAAAACUUAUCAAUUUUCCAAUUAAAACCUUGAUUGGAUUAAUUAAAUUAAUUUCAAGCUCGAUUAAGUCUCAAAACUUCCAAUCAUGUUGCCCUUAACCCAAAUUUUAAUUCAUUCUUCAUUUAUUUUAUUUUUACUUGUUUUCAUCAUUUUUUUCAUCAUUUUUUCAAUAAUUAAAAUAAAAUGGACAAAAAUUGGGUUAUGACAAUGUGCAUAAGGCAAAGAUGCACUGCCUAUUUAUAGGCAAGCUUCCUUGCCUUAGUCAUCUUGUAGCACCAAAUUGGUGCCUACAAUAUUGACUUGGUUGGCACCAAUUCGGUGCCUACAAUCUUUGACUUAGCUGGCACCAAUUGGUGCCAGCUAGCUUCUAACUUCACAUUCUCCCACUUGAAAACUUAGAUGAUUUAAUCAAGUCUUCACACAUGAUCAUCUAUGAUUCUUCUAUCCUUUCAAUACUUGCCAUCUUCAUGUUGCUUACGUGUCUGCUAGGCCACAAGAGGAUCUGCACCAUAUAUACUUAUUAGUGUUGACUGGUUUGGUCAAAGCAUCUGUUGGGUUUUCCUUUGUGUGAACCUUCUGAAAAUCCACACUUCCAUCUUCCACCACUUCGCGAACAAAGUGAUACUGAACAUCUAUAUGUUUUGUUCUUGAAUGAAACGCUGGAUUCCUUGCAAUAUGCAAGGCACUCUGACUAUCACAAUACAAAAGAAUCUUCUCUUGUUUGUGCCCGAGCUCCUCCAUAAGUUUCUUCAGCCAUAUUGCUUCUUUACAAGCCUGUGUAGCUGCCAUAUACUCAGCUUCUGUUGUGGAUAACGCUACAACAGUCUGAAGUUUAGAGACCCAGCUCACAGCUCCUCCUGCAAUUAUGAACACAUAGCCUGUAGUGGAUUUUCUUUUCUCAAGGUCACCAGCAAAAUCUGAGUCAACAUAACCUCUGAUAGUAAAUUCUGAUCCUCCAUAACAUAAUGCGGCAUCUGAGGUACCCUUGAUGUAUCUCAAGAUCCUCUUAAUAGUAUUCCAAUGCUCUCUACCAGGAUUUGCCAUGUAUCGACUAGCUGCUCCCACUGCUUGUGCAAUGUCUGGUCUUGUACAUAUCAUGGCAAACAUUAAACUUCCCACUGCUGAUGCAUACGGUACUCGAGACAUCUCCAUCCUCUCUGCUUCAUUGCUAGGAGACAUACUUGAGGAUAAUUUGAAGUUAAUAGGAAGUGGGGUGGAAAUUGGCUUACAAUCUUGCAUGUUGAAGCGUCGCAAGAUUUUCUUCAAAUAAUUCUUCUGAGAAAGCCAAAUCUUCCUCUUACUUCUGUCUCGGUGAAUUUGCAUCCCUAGAAUCUUGUUUGCUGGUCCCAAGUCCUUCAUAUCAAACUCCCUAGCCAACUGUGCCUUCAAUUCUUGGACUCGAUCUUUGUUGGGGCCUAUUACCAACAUGUCAUCCACGUACAACAACAGAAUGAUGAAAACAUCAUUUUCUUCAAACCUCUUGUAAUACGUACAAUGGUCUGAACUGAGUCUGUUGUACCCAAGGCUAAUUAUGAAGGAAUCAAAUCUCUUGUACCAACACCUCGGCGCCUGUUUGAGACCGUAUAGAGAUUUGUUCAACCUGCAAACCAAGUUCUCCUUGCCUGUUUCAGCAAAACCCUCUGGUUGGAGCAUAUAAAUUUCUUCUUCAAGUUCUCCAUGAAGAAAUGCAGUUUUCACAUCUAACUGCUCUAAGUGAAGAUCAAAUAUAGCACACAUUGCCAAGACUACUCUGAUUGUAGUAAGUCGUACCACCGGAGAAAAUAUCUCAUUGAAGUCUAUUCCUUCUUUCUGAGCAUAUCCUUUCACCACCAAUCUUGCACGAUACCGCUCCACUUGAUCAUUGCCAUCACGCUUUAUCUUGUAAACCCAUUUGUUGCCAAUGGCCUUUCUUCCUUGUGGUAGCGGAACAAGAUCCCAAGUGUUAUUCUUGUGCAGAGCUUCAAUCUCCUCUUGCAUUGCUGUCAUCCACAUAGAUACAUCUGUGCUUUUGAUAGCCUCAUGGAAAGUUGAUGGCUCUCCAUCCUCUGUUAGAAGACAGUAUGCAAUUGCUCUCAGUAACAUAUUCUGAGUGCCAAGCCGGUGGUCUUCUUUCACGAGUUGACCGUCGAACUUCAGGAGUUUCAGACUCUAUUUGUUCUUGUUCUUCAUGCUCUGGUGCAGCUUCAGAAGAAGUAUUCUGAGUAUUUUCCAUCUGGACUUCUGUAGUCUCCUUUAAAAUGCUAUUAUUUUCUUCCAUUUGCAUUUUAUCUUCUGCAAAUAUGACAUCUCUGCUGAUGACUACCUUGUGGGCAGUGGGAUCCCACAAGCGAUACCCCUUCACUCCAUCAGCAUAUCCCAAGAAUACACAUUUUCUGGAUUUUGAAUCCAGCUUGCUGACUUCUUGAGUAUUGUACAUCACGUACACAGGACUUCCAAAUAUAUGCAAUCGAGAAUAAUCAGCUGGCUUUCCAGUCCACAUCUCCAUCGGUGUCUUCAACUCAAUUGCAGUUGACGGAGAUCGAUUUAUCACAUAACAGGCGGUAUUGACUGCUUCUGCCCAGAAUGACUUUUCUAGACCUGCAGCCUUCAACAUUGCUCUUGUUCUUUCCAAUAGAGUUCUGUUCAUCCGCUCUGCCACUCCAUUUUGUUGUGGAGUGUAUGCCGUUGUGAACUGCCUUUUGAUACCUUCAUGUUGACAGAAGUUAUCAAAUUCAUCACUGGUAUAUUCUCCUCCAUUGUCAGUCCUCAAACACUUGAUCUUCUUUUCAGAUUCAAGUUCUACCCGCGCUUUGAAGGUUUUAAAAACUGCGAACACAUCUGCCUUCCUUCUAAUCGGAUACACCCAACAUCUCCUGGAGAAGUCAUCUAUGAAUGAUACAAAGUAUCUUGCUCCUCCCAAGGAUACAACCGGUGCUUGCCAAACAUCAGAGUGAAUCAGGUCUAAGAUGCAUUUGCUCUUAGUUGUUGACGUGCCAAACUUCAACCUGUGUUGUUUACUUGUAACACAGUGCUCACAAAAAGGUAAAGUAACCUUUGUAAGCCCAGGGAGUAACUUCUGAUCAGAGAGAACCUUUAAACCUUUCUCUGACAUGUGGCCUAGUUUUUGAUGCCACAUCAUCGUCUUCUCUUCUGCAGGACUGGCUGAUGCGAUUGAUGCUUCUGCCCCCUGAUGUGUUUCUCCCAUUAAUACAAACAUGUUUGCAACUGUCUUUCUUGCCUUUAAAACCACCAGCGCGCCUUUGACAAUUUUCAUGAUUCCAUUGUCUGUUCGGAUCUUACAGCCAAGACUAUCAAAUUGUCCUACGGACAAAAGAUUCUUCUUUAAGUCUUUCACAUGUCGCACUCCUGAAAUAGUACGAAUUAAGCCAUCAUACAUCUUCAAUUUGAUGGUGCCAAUGCCAGAAAUCUCUACAGCAUGAUUAUCACCCAUGAACACUGUGCCUCCAGAGAUAGGUUCAUAUGUAUGGAACCAAUCUCGUCUAGGGGUCAUAUGCCAUGUUGCUCCUGAAUCCAUUAGCCAGACCUCAGUGAGCUCUUCUCUAUCUGUAGAGAUUGUUGCUGCUUCACUAUAUAAAAUCUCCCCAUCUUCUGAGGUGCUUGCAACACAUCCUUGAGGUUUGAUGACUCUGCAGUAUUCUCUAUACCCUUUUUAAACCAACAAUCCUUUUUGAAGUGCCCUUUUCUGCCACAGUUGUAGCAUUUCACAACUUCUUACUUCUUGAUUUGGACCUCCCCUGCCUUUGACUCCCACUGAGCCACGUUCCGUUGAUCUUCCUCUUGACACAAUGCCUCUGCUUGGUUUGAACUGUUUCUGUCUCCUUUGUUUUUGCGCCUAUUUUCUUCUUCCAAGAUAGCGGCUGCAACAUCAUCGAAGACUAAAUAGUCUGAGAGGAUAUUAUUGGUCAAGUUGAUAAUGAGCUGAUCAUACGAAUCAGGAAGACUUUGAAGUAGAAGCUCUGCACGUUCAUUUUCCUCUAUUUGUUGACCCAACGUAGUGAGUUGUGAAAAUAGAGUUCUUAUUGUGUUGAUGUGGUCAGUCACCGACGUGGUUUCUGCCAUUCGAAGGGUAUAAAGUCUCCGCUUUAAGAAAAUCUUAUGUGCAAAGACUUGGACUCGUAUAGCUUUGUUAGAGUCUCCCAUAUCUCCUUAGCUGUUUUCUUCUCCGCCACACUUGAUAAUACUUCAUCAGCUAAUGCUAAAUGUAUGUUAGCAAUAGCAUUGCCAUCCAUCUCAUUCCAUUUUGCAUUAUCAGUGAUCUCCGCGGGCCGAUCCCCAAUUGCUGCCAAGCAAUUGUCUUUCCUCAAGAUUGCCUUGAUUCUCAUUUUCCACAGUGAGAAAUUGCUCCCCUUGAACCUCUCAAUCUCGUACUUUGCUGCCAUUGUAUUCACCGAGAUCUAUUCAGCUAUCACCGUUUCACAGAUCUGUAACGUAUAUAGAAAUAGUAUCGUGUGAAUAAUACUUCACUAAGUAAGUUCCCAAGAAAGAUUGGAGGGGUCACAAACGGUCCCGCUUAAAACCCAAUCUCCUUAGACAAAACUUCCUAGACUGUAUUUAAUCACCGCACUGACUUUCUAUAUACGCCAACAGUAACGUAAGUGAACAGUACCGUAUGGAUGAAUAGUGCCGUAGACGUGAAUAGUAACCGUAUACACGAAUAACUUUUGUGUGUUAACAACACCAACCAAGAAGGCUCUGAUACCACUGUUAGGAUACUGGCAUGCAAACCCGACAAGAUAAAAGGUAAGGGACAAGAUAAAAUGAGAAAUGACACACAAGAAUUUACGUGGUUCACCCAAUUAGGCUACGUCCACGGGCAAGUAUAGAAGGAUUUUACUAAGUAAUGUGGGAAUUACAACCUCUCUCAAAUAAUAGGAGAACAACUAAAAAUCUCUCUAUUACUAGGAGAAAACACCUCACUUACUCUCUCACAAAUACCUCACAACUUUGUGGGAUUAUUUUCCCUCUUCACUCUCUCUUCUUUCUCUCUUUCUUCUUUGUGAUGUGCAUAAGGCAAGGAUGCACUGCCUAUUUAUAAGCAAGCUUCCUUGCCUCAUUCAUCUUGUAGCACCGAAUUGGUGCCUACAAUAUUGACUUGGCUGGCACCAAUUCGGUGCCUACAAUCUUUGACGUAGCUGGCACCAAUUGGUGCCAGCUAGCUUCUAGCUUCUUCUAGCUUCACAGAUCAAACUCCCAAAAAGAGUUCUGGCAAUUGGAGUUCUUUCUAGCAACAAUCUGGGUUUCCCCUCCGUCUUUCUCUCUUUCAAUUUUUUUUCACGGUUGCCAAUUUUUGUAUGUGCUGUAUAGAUUGUGUUGAAAUGCUGCAUUGUUGUAAAGUUAUUCAUCAUGGCCCUGCUUCAUUUUUAUUUUGCUGAGGUAAAAAAACUUAUGUUUGGGGGCAUAAAGAUGGAAUGCUUGUUCUUUUGAGUGGCAAAUUCUUGAGACCAAUAAAAACUGAGUAGUUUGAGAAAACAAUGCUCUUGGCAUUCCAUCAACUCACAUUGCUCAGAUUGCAUUUUAUUUGAAGUUGCCUGCUUCAUUAUGACUGUUGGCAUUCCCGAUCUUCAUUUUUUUAAUUUUUUGUGCUACGAGUUGCUUAUUAAGUUUAAAAAUAUAGUUGUGGUUGUUUUUUAAAGUAUAUUUUAUUUGAAAAUAUAUUAAAUUAAUUUUUUUUAAUUUUUAAAAAUUAUUUUUAACAUUAAUACAUUAAAAUGGUUUAAAAUCACUAAAAAAAUAUUAAUUUUUUAACAAAAAAACUUUCAAUUUUUUUUUCAAAAAUAUUGUUGAAAUGCAUAAAACAAACCCGGUCAUAAGCUACGUAGUAAACACUGGUCUUGGAGGCGUGACCUUCUUUAAGGGUUUUGAGUCUUUUGACCACACACUUCCUGGUUAUUUCUAUCAUCCAGAUGAGCUCGGCUACUAGGCUAUGUCUGAAUGAAAUUAUGGGCUCGUUAGCUGGGCCUUUUCCAUAUCGGCAAGUUGGGGAUUCUUAUUGACUUUUGCAUGUUGGAUUUGGCUCCAAUUUGAUGUAUUUUUUUUUUUUAGUAGUAUUUGGUGAAUCUAUUUUAUCUAUAAACUAGUUAGGUAACCGUGCUACACCAUAGAUUUACCUUUUAUUUUAUAAAAAAAUUAGGUUCUAUAAAUUAGAGGAUCAAAGUCUAUUUUGGGUCUUGUACAACUAAUGAUCCAAUACUAUUUUGGGUACUUCAUAGCAUAGUUGGGUCUUUGCGCAGCCCCAACGCUACUUGUGCGCUUGGUCUGGCAGCACAAAAGUAGGCAGCCCAAAAAUAACGUGUUCCCAUGUGGUUUUUCUUCAACAGUAACAAUAGUUUUUUAAAAUUUAUUAAUGAUGAUGAUUAUGAUAAUAGUAUAAAAAUAAUAAUAUUUAUAGCACAAAAGAUAAUAUUUUUAAUAUUAAUACUUUUGAUUAUAGUAAAAAUAAUAAUAUUCAUAACCCAAAUAAUAGUAUUUUUAAUUCUAAGAAUAUUUAGAACACAAAUAAUAAUAUUUUUUAUAUGAAUACUUUGUAUUAGAAGAAAAAUAAUAGUAUUUACAACAUAGAUUAUAAUAUUUUUUAUAUUAAUACUUAGAAUUGUUGAAUAUUUUUAAUAAUACUAAGCUGUGGACUCACUUUUUAUUUUUAUAAAAAAUAUCAUAAAAAAUUAUAAUUUAAAUAAUAAUAUGUUUUCAAUAAUAAUAAUAAUAAUAAUAUUUUAUUUCAAAUUUAUUAAUUAUUUUAUUAAUAAUACUAAUUAUAAUAAAAAUAAUAAUAUUUACAAUACAAAUUAUAGUUUUAAAACCCGACUCAGUAAUCGACCCGAUAUAAUAAUCAAGUCACGGGUCAUAUAGGUUGACCCGAGUUAACCCGGGUCAACAAAAAAAAUAUAUUUCCCGUGAAAUUUUCAUUAAUGGUCAGAGCGUGAUUUACUUUUCUAAAUAGUUAUUUUACCAAACAUGAAGCACUGUAAAAGUUGUCUUGAUUUGGCUCUCUUUGGUUCUUUUACUCUCAGGAUCAUGCCUCCCUCUUAUCACUGUCCUUAAAAUCUCACACAGCACCCCACCCCACUAUAUUGAGAAAUUCUCUCUACAUUGAAAAGCUGCAUAAAUUGUCUUGCUCGCCCUUUCCUCUCUUUGCCCCCUCUUUUUAAUUACUCCACUCUUGCAAUCAACAUAAACUAUCCAUGUUCAAUGUUUUCCCAGGAAAAGAAGAAGAAGAAAGUUGUGUCAUAGAAGGAAUCCUAGUUAUUGAUCUCUCUGUUUCCACUAGAGAAAUAAGUAACAGAAACUUCAUCUAACCUUGAUUUGCAGAUCUGAACUAAAGAGAGCCAAAAAAAAAAAAAAAAACACCCUGCAAAAACAGAUUUAGUGUUUGCUGAGGGCCAAAAGAGAGACGGGGACAAAAUAUGGCAAGACUUGCCUUGAAGUCUUUUGCAUGUGGCUUAAUUUUGUCUGCUCUUCUUUGCAACUGAUAUGGCUUCAAAGAUUGAAGAGAUUGGGUUUAUUUUGUCUUUGUGUUGCAGAUGGUUUGAUUAAUUGAUAGUAAAAAGCUAAAGCGAACAACGACUUUACUUAUAUAUAUAAAACAACCGGGUCUUUCCCGGGUCGAUCGGGUUGUCGGGCCAAUUCCCUUGCUGGUUUGUUCAUCAACCCAGUCUGGUUCCAAUUCUGGGUCAGCCGGGUCUCGGGUUGACCCGCCGGGCCGGGUUUUAAAACUAUGAUACAAAUAAUUAUAUUUAAAAUCCUAGGACCUAGGAACCUUGGGUCUUGAUGAAUAACCCAAUAGAAUUGGGUCCUUAUGCAAGGCCAAUUGAGCUUGGGUCUUGACGCCGGACCCAUUCCUCUUGGGCGGGUGCCGGUCUGGCUCAUGCUACCGCGAGCCAGCCUAAGCGCCACAUGUGUGCUUGGUCAACCCAGCACACAGGCAGACAACCCAAGCGCCCAAGGGUGGGCAAACCGAGCACCAGGUGGCUACAGCCUGGGGGGCGACCAACAGACGUUGCAUGCCCAGUGCCCAGGCUUGGCAGCCAAGUGCCAGGUGUCCACAGCCCCAGUAGGUGCGCCUCCAUCCUGACACUUGCGGCUUGCUGGCUGCAGCCUCACACAUGCCCCUACCAAACAGUGCAGUGCAGUGAAAGCACUCACCGUCUAUAAUACUUCGUGCUAUAGUAUGUGAUAGUAUAAUUCAUAGUAAAUUCACUUACAGUGCAUAAUAACUUGUGUUAUAGUAAAACACUUAUCAGUUUUAGUAAAAAGAUAGCUAUUCCUGGAAUAAUAAAGGAAUGUUGAAGCUGAUUCGGCUUUUUCCGAGGAAAAGGAAAAAGAUCAUUCCUUCUGUAUUUUGGAAUGCUAGAUAUAGGUAUAGUGCUCGUAUUGUUUUCUUCAAGUUUACUGCCCCACAUAAUUCCUGCUUCUUUAUUUUACUUUCCCCGAAGAAGUUUAUAUAUGGGCAUGGUGCUCAUCAAAUGCAAUAGAUUUUGGAAAUUUAAACAACAGUAUUUUCUGACAUUACCAGAGGGCUACGGUGCUUGUGCUGGAGUUUACUGCCCCACCUAUCAAAUUGCAAAGAAAAGUCACUACAAAAGAGCAUCAUCAAUAUUCCAAAAAAGAUGGUCCUUCCAUAAUCAUCGAGUUAAUCCAACACUGACAUUAAUUGUGUUUUCUUGUAGAAACAGAAAUGGGCCUUCUUCUUAUUACCAUAGGCAUGCUAAUGUGGCUGAUAUUUUUCCAGGACAUUAAACCAUGUCUGGUUGCCCUCCCAAUACUGACAAUCUUGACUCAAACUACCCAACCAUGAGCUCAGUGGUUAAACUGCCUGCUCUGGAAUGAAUGGAACCACUGAUAUUGUUUGAACUAAGAUCUAAUGUUUCCAAUUUUGCCAAGUUCCAUAUUUCUAAAGGGAUGGAUCCGUUGAUUUAAUUGGUUGUAAGAGAGGUAUAGAAAUGCCAAGUUUCUUAAAUUGUCUAAUGAAAAAGGAAUAGAACCAGUGAUGUAGAGAAAGUCCAUACAAAUUCUUCAAAUUCCCAAUUUCUGAAGGGAUCGAACCUGUAAUCUUGAAAGACUGAUGUGGUUGUGGUGUAGAGAAGUCCAAAACCGGUGUUUAUUGUCUAGCUUACACUGUUAAGCAAUUCAUAGCACCAAAAAUUAAGAACUGAAGAAAUGCAAUGCCAACUGUCAGCGUCAAAUAAAAUGGAACUUGAACAGUGUGAGUUGAUGGGUGAAAAUGAGAACAUGAAAUUUCACCACCAUUGUUUUCUCGUACUUCUCAGUUUGUUUUUAUUGGUCUCAACAAUCUGUCACUCAAAAGAACAGGCAUUCUAUUUUUGAUCACGAACAGUGGCAUUUGAAAACUAAGAAGGCCAGGCAGUCAAUCCAUCCUUUCAUGGAAAGAGACCGUGUAGAAAAUAAUCGCUCGCGUCUUGGAGACGAUGUUUGCGUCUAAUGCUUGCCUGCGAAAUUUAUGAAUGAAUUAAGUGCAUGCCUUUUUCAUGGACUCAUUCCACGUCUUGUAGGCCCUUUGUUUCAUAAACAGGGUAGAUAAUUGGCAAACUGGCACUCCCAUGGGCAGCUGCUGGAAAGAAGAAGAGAAGCCACCAUUUACCUAUAAAUGAGCACUACGAAAAAGAGCAAAAUAAGUGAGUGUGAGCAUGUGAAGGGAAUAGAAAGAAAGAGAGAGUUGUAAUGGCAGCAGCCAUUGCAGCAGCUGCAAGGGCAGCAAGAGAGAUGGGAGUUGAGUGAUGAGAUCCUCCUCCAUGUAUUUAUUGUAUUCUUUUUCUAUCUCUAAUAAAAUGGACUCUCUCCCGUGGAUGUAGGCGGUUUUGCCGAACCACGUAAAAUAUUGUGUUUCAGUGUGAUUGCCCUCCGUUAAGCAAUUAUCAGUACAUCACCGGUCGGAUUCCCCAACAUUAAGUGCUUGCCUUUUUCAUGGACUCAUUCCACGUCUUGUAGGCCCUUUGUUUCAUAAAUAGAGUAGAUGAUAAUCCGGUUGCUUCCAAGAACAUGCAAUUGGCAAACUUUUCUUGAAGUAGUUGAGUCGAGACUGACAGUGUGUGUUUUGGUUUAAUGUCCUGGAAAAAUAUCCAGCAUGCCUAUGGUAAUAAGAAGAAGGCCCCACCCUACCCACAUACACAACCCUCCACACACACACAUACGACGACCCUAACUCCAUGAAUCUUCCUAGUUCCUUACCAUCCCCUCCUUGGGUUGACCCACCCACGUCCCCUUCGCUCGCGUCUUGGAGGCCAUGUUUGCGUCUAGUGCUUGCCUGCGAAAUUUAUGAAUGAAUUAAGUGCAUGCCUUUUUCAUGGACUCAUUCCACGUCUUGUAGGCCCUUUGUUUCAUAAAUAGAGUAGAUAAUCCGGUUGCUUCCAAGACAUGCAAUUGGCAAACUGGCCUUGAAGUAGUUGAUUCGAGACUGACAGUGUUUUGGUUUAAUGUCCUGGAAAAAUAUCCAGCAUGCCUAUGGUAAUAAGAAGAAGGCCCCACCCUACCCACAUACACAACAUUCCACACACACACAUACGACGACCCUAACUCCAUGAAUCUUCCUAGUUCCUUACCAUCCUCUCCUUGGGUUGACCCACCCACGUCCCCUUCUCUCCCCAAGACUACACAGUGCACCCAUAAAAUCCCAUAAACUUUACCCAACACCUCUACCCUCUCUCUGUAUAUAUAUUCUCAAAUCCUCAUGCACAACUGGAUGAUAGAAAUAUCCGAGGAAACGCGUGGUUAAGAGACUCAAAACCCUUAACAAAAGGUCACGUGCCUCCAAGACUAGUGUUUACUGCGUAGCUUAUAACCCGAUUUGUUUUAUGCAUUUCAACAAUAUUUUUGAAAAAAAAUUGAAAGGUUUUCCUUUCUAAUAAUAUUUUUUUAAUAGUUUUAAAUUAUUUUAAUGUAUUAAUAUAAAAAAUAAUACCUUUAGUUUUAAUCAACAAAAACACCUCAUUCUUCUCUCUCUUUCUUGCUCCUUUUUUUUUUUUUGAUAGUAAACGAGAUAAUUAUAUAUUAAAUAAGCAGCCCCAUCAAGUAAGUGGGGCUGAACGAAAGAUAGAAUACAAUGGAAAUAUGAAGAAAGAAAAGACCAAAGUGAUGAGGGACUUAAUUAGUUAGUCAAGUUCAUAAUACAUUCAGGAUUUCUAAAAAGAUCUGAGCCUGUAUAGCUGAAAUUUGUAACUGAGGACUUCAACCAGAAAGCCAAACGGUGAAAAGUGAGAUCAAAAAUCAUAUCCCAAUUAGGAGCCUUGGAUUCGAAGAUUAGGCGGUUGCGCGCUAUCCAAAUUGACCAAUACAGACCUUUACAGAGGAGGGUAAUAGCACGUCGCUGAAAUUUUCCAUUAAUCAAUCCGGACCAUUCCUGCAGAUUUUGAUUUGGGUCUUUGUGCAGACAACCUGAGCACCCGAACCAUUUCAAGAAACGACCCCAAAGAGACCAUGUUAUAGGACACCAAUGGAAAAGAUGAUUAAUUGUCUCGGUUUCCUUGCAGCAGAAUGGGCAGUGAGAUUCCUCAUAAUUAAUGAUUCUCCUCUCAGCUAAAAAACUUCUUGUACUCAAACCUCCAUGAAGAAGAAGCCAAAUGAACACAUCCACUUUUGGGGGGGGGGGGCAUAACCAUUCCAUAGCAGAGUAAUGGAGUGAUUAUUUUCAGUGGCCGAUAGACUAUCAAAGAAGAGGCGACCUGAUUGAGCUGAGUACAUGCCAGAGCUGUGGAAUUUCCAUAACUUGCAGUCUGCACCAUCUGAGAAAAGGAGACCACGCUGCACCUCUGCGAUCAAGCUCUCCCUUUGGCAGAUCUCACGAGGCUGAAGGGUUCUUCUCCAGGAAAGGUUUAAAGAUGCAUCUGUCAAAUUGUAUAUAUCUGCAAGGUUGGUGUUUUGCUGCAAGGAGAGGUUAUAAAGUCUGGGGAAUAAGAGCUGGAGAUUGGUUACAGAGCCGAGCCAAGAGUCAGUCCAAAAUCGGAUGUUCCUCCCGUCACCCACCUUGAACCCGACAUUUGCAUGUAAAAGAUUGGCUAUGUUUUGUGUUGAGAAGAUUGCCGAAACAAUGCCAUGCCAAGUUGGAGAUAAAGAACCUGCAAACUCAGGGAUACCAUUUAUAAAGUGAGGUCGGUAUUUUAGAAGAAUGUGUUCUUGCCAGCCUCCUGCCACUCCAUUGUCUAGAUUCCAUAGCCAUUUAAAGAGCAAAGCCAGAUUUUUGUUGUGGAUGGAUCCCAGCCCGAGACCACCAGAAGAUUUAUCCUUUAUUACCUUGUGUCAAGCCACCUUAAAAAGGCCAUGAGAAGUUGAGCUUCCUUUCCAAAGGAAAGACCGGGUUAGAGAAGAGAUGGCUUUAGUAACACCCUUUGGCAUAGCAAAAACUGACAUGUAAAACAGAGGAAGAGAGCUCAAGACUGAUUUAAUUAGACAUAACCUUCCCGCCAUGCUCAAAAAAUUCCCUUUCCAUGUGAGUAGCUUUGCUCUGAUAGUGGACAACACUGGUUUCCAAGUAGAGAGCCUGCUGGGAUUGGCUCCAAGAGGUAGUCCAAGGUACCUAACCGGGAAAGUAUCACUACGACAGAAGACUGAGUUCGCUAGGCUAGAGGUGUAGUCGUUGUCCAAGUUAAUACCUAUUAGUGAGCUUUUAUAGAAGUUAACUUUCAGUCCGGAAAUGAUCUCAAACCAACGUAGAAUCCUCUUGGCAUGUAGAAGAGAGGGAAAAUCAUUUGGCAAGAAAAUCAGAGAGUCGUCGGCAUAUUGCAAAUGAGUUAAGUAAUGACUUGGGGUAGUCUGUAAGCCUUUGAAGUAACCUGAAGCUGAUGCCCUAUUGAAUAAAACUGUCAAUCCCUCAACUGCAAUGUCAAAUAGGAAUGGAGAGAGUGGGUCCCCUUGCCUGAGACCCCUCUCCAAACUAAAUUCUCUACUAGGAGAACCGUUUAUCAAGAUGGCUAAUUUUGAAGUGGAUAAGCAUUUGAAUAUCAGCUUCCUCCAGUGUGAGCCAAAACCCAUGUAUCCCAUACUUGUGUCAAUAUGUUCCCAUAAAAUUGAGUCAAAGGCUUUAUGGAAAUCUACCUUCAAUAAGAGGCCAUGCUUCUUCUUGCUGCGCACACCAUGGACAACCUCAUUUGCUAUCAUGAACCCGUCUAGAAUCUGACGCCCAGCAAUAAAUGCAGACUGGUUAACACUGAUCACAUCUGUCAUGACAUGACAAAGCCUAGUUUCUUGCUCCUCUCUCUUUACAACAACAACAAAAAAGAAAUGGAUGGAAGCUGCGUAGAUGAGAAAACAACUAGUAGUGUACUGAUAACUCCAUAUCCAUCACUCCAACCUCCCUCACUCCUCCUCCACCUCCAGCUACCACAGCAAAAUCACCACCUGAGUCUCUUUGCCGUGUUUGCAGCGGCAAUGGUGUGAUUCCAUAAGAAAACUCAAUUAAUGUCAGCGUCGGUAUGUGGUCCAUUAACUCGAUGAUUUUGGAAGGACCAUCUUUCUUGGAAUAUUGAUGAUGCUCUUUUUAGUGACUUUUCUUCGCAUAUGACCACUGCAAUUUAAUAGGUGGGGCAGUAAAAACUCCAGCACAAGCACCGUAGCCCUCUAGUAAUAUCAGAUAAUACUUUUGUUUAAAUUUCCAAAAUCUAUUGCAUUUGAUGAGCACCAUGCCCAUAUAUAAACUUCUUCGGGGAAAAUAAAAUAAAGAAGCAGGAAUUAUGUGGGGCAGUAAACUCUAGUUCCUUACCAUCCCUUCCUUGGGUUGACCCACCCACGUCCCCUUCGCUCGCGUCUUGGAGGCCAUGUUUGCGUCUAGUGCUUGCCUGCGAAAUUUAUGAAUGAAUUAAGUGCAUGGCUUUUUCACGGACUCAUUCCACGUCUUGUAGGCCCUUUGUUUCAUAAAUAGAGUAGAUAAUUGGCAAACUGGCCUUGAAGUAGUUUGAGUCAAGAUCGUCACUAUUCGCCCCCCCGCGCGCGCGCACCCGACUGAUCUUGCACGUCAAUGUAGACUAUAGCCCUAGCACAAGUUGAGUCCAACCUAACCAAUCUACUGUUAUUGUAAAAAAAAAAAAAAAGCAAUCCAAUUCCCAAUUCAAUAUAUACAGAAUCUAUAAAAAUUAAAAAUAUUACAUUGCAGCUACGAUUAUCUCUGGAAAAAAGUUUAAGAAAAAAAAGUAUAGUACUUACAUUAUUUACAAAUUAAACUUUAAAAGCUGUUGAAAAACACAGUUAAAAUUGUGUUUUUUAAAAAAUAAUUUUUUAAUCAAAAAUUUGAAUGCGGUGAAAAUAUAAAAAUUAACUUUUUUAUAUUAUUAAAUUGUUUUGAUGUGAUGAUGUGAAAAAUAAUUUUUUAAUAAUAAAAUUUUAUUAUUUUAAUAUGUUUUCAAAUAAAAAAUAUUUUAAAAAUUAAUUAUUAACAUAAUAAAAAAUCUGGCAUUUUCUUGCUUACUUUCAAAUCCAAACUCUUGACCUUCAAUGAAAAUCGUGUCUCAAAUUUUUUUUAUCAUGGCUCCUUGUUGAAAAUGCACAGGAUAUCAACAAACCUUCAAUGCACAUAAAUGUAGGAGAGAUCAUGGUUCCUUGCUGAAAAUAUCAACUUUGAUCUCAUAUUGAACUGAACAAGAGCCUCGAAGAGCAUGCAUGUUUGAUAAUGUUUUCACUAUUUCAACUUAAAUCUACAAGACAUGGGCAAUACGGAUUGACUAUGGAUCAAAUCCAAAAAUUAAUGGCACGUACGAUGAUCAAAAAACUACUAUGUAUUAGCAUUAUUUUUCUACUCGGUCUCUUUCCAUGAAAAUCAGGUAGAAUAGAAUUAACUGAUUGGCCUUCUUAAUUUCCAAAAUCCACCAUUGGUGAUUUGUAAGCCUUUUUCUUAAUCACAACGCGAGAAAGGUACACGUGAAAGACCAGACGAUCUUGACUUUUAACGAGUCCAUGGGAAUUGAUGCCAUGCACUUCAUUAAUAAAUUUAGCAUUAUCAUUGAAGUGAAGCAUUAGACACAAACAUGGCGUCCAUUGAUUAUGAGCCAAAACUUCUUGCAAUUUUAAGCAUCUCAUUUUUCUUGUCCUGUAUUUUUGUAUCUGUGGCUGCACUUGAUGACUCGGCCUUGCUAGCAUCAGAAGGCAAGGCUUUGCUUGAGAGUGGAUGGUGGAGUCAAUACAGCAACGUCACCUCACAUUGUUGCCAGUACUGGCCUGGCAUAUUUUGUAAUAGGGCUGGAAGCAUCACUGAGAUUUCCCCACCUCCAGAGCUCGUCAAGGUGGGAAAUAAGUUUGGAAAGAUGAACUUUUCUUGCUUCUCAAACCUUGCCCGUCUCCACCUGCCCAACCAUGAGCUCAGUGGGAGCAUCCGUCCUGAACUAGGCAAUCUUCCACAACUCAGAUACCUCAACCUGUCCUCAAAUAAUCUAGCAGGUGAGUUUCCGUCUUCACUUGGAAAUCUCAGCCGAUUAGUUGAGCUUGAUUUUUCUUACAAUGAUUUCAUCAAUUCCAUCCCUCCAGAACUAGGCAAUCUUAAAAAUCUUGUUACUUUGAACUUGUCUCAUAACAACUUCAGCGGCCCAAUCCCUUCGGCACUUUGUCAUUUGGAAAAUCUAACGCAUUUACAAAUGGAUCACAAUAGUCUAACAGGUGAGUUACCGUCUUCACUGGGAAAUCUCAGCCGAUUAGUUGAGCUUGAUUUUUCUUCCAAUAAUUUCACCAACUCCAUCCCUCCAGAACUAGGCAAUCUUAAAAAUCUUGUUACUUUGAGCUUUAGUGAGAACAACAUCUAUGGAUCCAUUCCUUUGGAAAUAGGAAAUUUGACGAACCUUGAAGAUUUAGAUCUUUCCUUUAAUUUCCUAGGUGGUUCAAUUCCUUCAACUUUGGGCCUUUUAUCCAAUUUGAUUGUUCUAGAACUUUUCAGUAACCAAAUCACGGGUUCGAUUCCUUUUUCGUUAGGCAAUUUAAGAAGCUUGCCAAGGCUAGACCUCUCUCACAACCAAAUCACGGGUUCGAUUCCUUUUUCGUUAGGCAAUUUAACAACCUUGACAACCCUAGACCUCUCUGACAACCAAAUCAACGGAUCUGAAAUACAAAACUUUACAAAUUUGGAAGAAUUAUAUUUGAGUUCAAACGGUAUCAGUGGUUCGAUUCCUUCAACUUUGGGCCUUUUAUCCAAUUUGAUUAUUCUAGAUCUUUCCUACAACCAAAUCACCGGUUUGAUUCCUUUUUCAUUAGGCAAUUUAACAAACUUGGCAAUGCUAGACCUCUCUUACAACCAAAUCAACGGAUCCAUCCCUGUAGAAAUACAAAACUUGACAAAUUUGGAAGGCUUACAUUUGAGUUUAAACAAUAUAUGUGGUUCGAUUCCUUCAACUUUAGUUUUUUUAUCCAAUUUGGUUGCUCUAAAUCUUUCCUAUAACCAAAUCACUGGUUUGAUUCCUUCAACUUUGGGUCUUUUAUCCAAUUUGACUUUUCUAGAUCUUUCCUAUAACCAAAUCACUGGUUUGAUUCCUUCAACUUUGGGUCUUUUAUCCAAUUUGACUUUUCUAGAUCUUUCGUAUAACCAAAUCACUGGUUUGAUUCCUUUUUCAUUAGGCAAAUUACCAAGCUUGACAAAGCUAGACCUCCAUAACAACCAAAUCAACGGAUCCAUCCCUUUAGAAAUACAAGACUUGAUAAAUUUGAAAGAAUUAAAUUUGAGUUCAAACAAUAUAUGUGGUUCGAUUCCUUUAACUUUGGGCCUUUUAUCCAAUUUGAUUUUCUAGAUCUUUUAUAACCAAAUCACUGUUUGAUUCCUUUUUGUUAGGCAAUUUAACAAACUUGAUAAGCCUAGACCUCUCUCACAACCAAAUCAACAGAUCCAUCCCUUCAUCUUUGAAGUAUUGUAAUAAUUUGGCCUCCCUAUAUUUGAGCUUCAAUAAUUUAAGUGGAGAGAUACCCUCCGAACUAUAUGAUUUGGGCUCUUUAAAAGAUGUGAAUUUUAGUUACAAUAAUCUCUCAGGCCAUGUUCCCUUGAAUUUGCCAACACCCUUUGAUUUUUAUUUCACAUGUGAUUUACUUCUUUAUGGGGAAAUUACCAACAAUUCUGUAACUUUUAAAGCUACUACAUUUGAGAGCAACAAAUAUUUACACCUUAAUUUCUCACGUUGUCCAUCUAAUUACUCCCCACCUUUACAAACCUACUUGUUACCUUCAAAAGACAAAAGAAGGAUUCAUUCCAUCAAGAUAUUUCUUCCUAUCACCACCAUUUCACUUUGUCUCUUGUGCCUCGGAUGUUGUUAUCUGUCUCGAUGCAAGGCUACCCAACCUGAGCCAGCAUCAUCAAAUAAUGGAGACUUGUUUUCUGUAUGGAAUUAUGAUGGGACGAUUGCAUACGAAGACAUCAUUACAGCGAUCGAGAACUUUGACCUCUUUGACCUUUUUGUUAGGCAAUUUAACAAGCUUGACAAGGCUAGCCCUCUCUCACAACCAAAUCAACGGAUCCAUCCCUGUAGAAAUACAAAACUUGACAAAUUUGGAGGAAUUAUAUUUGAGUUCAAACAAUAUCAGUGGUUCGAUUCCUUCAACUUUGAGCCUUUUAUCCAAUUUGAUUCUUCUAGAUCUUUCCGACAACCAAAUCACCGGUUUGAUUCCUUUUUCGUUAGGUAAUUUAACAAACUUGACAAUAUUAUACCUCUAUGACAAUCAAAUCAACGGAUCCAUCCCUUUAGAAAUACAGAACUUGACAAAUUUGGAGGAAUUAUAUUUGAGUUUAAACAAUAUCUAUGGUUCGAUUCCUUCAACUUUGGACCUUUUAUCCAAUUUGAUUAUUCUAGAUCUUUCCCAUAACCAGAUCACUGGUUUGAUUCCUUUUUCGUUAGGCAAUUUAACAAACUUGACAACACUAGACCUCCAUGACAAUCAAAUCAACGGAUCCAUCCCUGUAGAAAUACAAAACUUGACAAAUUUGGAGGAAUUAUAUUUGAGUUCAAACAAUAUCAGUGGUUCGAUUCCUUCAACUUUAAGCCUUUUAUCCAAUUUGAUUCUUCUAGAUCUUUCCUACAACCAAUUCACCGGUUUGAUUCCCUUUUUGUUAGGCAAUUUAACAAACUUGACAAGGCUAGACCUCUCUCACAACCAAAUCACCGGGGUGAUUCCUUUUUCGUUAGGCAAUAUAACAAGAUUGACAAGGCUAGACCUCUAUGACAACCAAAUCACCGGGGUGAUUCCUUUUUCGUUAGGCAAUUUAACAAGAUUGACAAGACUAGCCCUCUAUGACAACCAAAUCAACGGAUCCAUCCCUUCAUCUUUGAAGUAUUGUAAUAAUUUGGCCUCCCUAGAUUUGAGCUUCAAUAAUUUAAGUGGAGAGAUACCCUCCGAACUAUAUGACUUGGGCUCUUUAAAUUAUGUGAAUUUUAGUUACAAUAAUCUCUCAGGCCCUGUUCCCUUGCCUUUGUAUCCGCCCUUUAAUUUCACAUGUGAUUUACUUCUUCAUGGGCAAAUUACCAACGAUUCUGCAACUUUUGAAGCUACUGCAUUUGAGGGCAACAAAUAUUUACACCUUAAUUUCUCACGUUGUCCAUAUAUUUACUCCCCACCUUCACAAACCUACUUGUUACCUUCAAAAGACAACAGAAUAAUUCAUUCCAUCAAGAUAUUUCUUCCUAUCACCACCAUUUUACUUUGUCUCUUGUGUCUCGGACGUUGUUAUUAUCUGUCUCGAUGCAAGGCUACCCAACCUGAGCCAACAACAUUAAAGAAUGGAGACUUGUUUUCCAUAUGGAAUUAUGAUGGGACGAUUGCAUACGAAGACAUCAUUGCAGCGACUGAGAACUUUGACCUCAGAUAUUGUAUCGGAACCGGUGGUUAUGGGAGCGUCUACCGAGCACAACUUCCAGGUGGGAAAUUAGUUGCCUUGAAGAAACUUCAUCGUCGAGAGGCAGAGGAGCCGGCUUUUGACAAGAGUUUCAAAAAUGAGGUGGAAGUGCUCACACAAAUACGUCACAGGAGCAUUGUAAAGCUUUAUGGAUUCUGUUUGCACCAGCGCUGCAUGUUUCUUGUUUACGAGUACAUGGAAAAGGGAAGCUUGUUUUGUGCCUUGAGAAAUGAUGUCGGAGCUGUGGGAUUGAAGUGGAUGAAAAGAGCACACAUCAUCAAAGACAUUGCUCACGCAUUAUCUUACUUGCAUCAUGAUUGCAACCCGCCAAUUGUUCAUCGAGACAUAUCAAGCAGCAAUGUUCUGUUGAAUUCAGAAUCCAAGUCUUUUGUUGCUGAUUUUGGCGUGGCUAGACUUCUUGAUCCUGAUUCGUCCAACCAUACUGUACUUGCUGGUACCUAUGGAUACAUUGCCCCAGGUAAAAAUAUUUCUUCUUAACAUCCAUAUUUACCACUCAUGCACUGCAAAACUAAAGCAAACUCUCUUUUAAAUAUAUAUAUAUAUAUAUAUAUAUAUAUAUAUAUAUAUAUAUUAAUUUCGAUUUGUAUAUGGGCAGAGUUGGCUUAUACUAUGGCGGUGACAGAGAAAUGUGAUGUGUACAGCUUUGGAGUUGUGGCGCUUGAAACUUUGAUGGGAAGGCAUCCGGGAGAUAUCCUAUCAUCAUCUGCUCAGGCUAUUACACUGAAAGAAGUGUUAGAUCCUCGUUUGCCACCUCCAACAAAUGAGAUUGUCGUACACAAUAUAUGUACCAUUGCAAGUCUCAUAUUUUUUGCUUACAUUCAAAUCCAAAAAUCGACCUUCAAUGAAAUUCGUGUCUCAAGAAUUUCUAAUCUCCCAAGAGAUUAUUGGGAGGUCUCGAGAUUUCUUUGUUGGAGCUGCGAAAUCUUGGCUUGCACACAAAUGUAGGUGAGAUCACAGUUCCUCGCUGAAAAAGUCAACUUCGAUCUCGCAUGGAACUUCAACGAGAGCCUCCAAGAGCAUGCGUUUUAGAAUUCUUAAUUUUGGAUGAAUUUUUUUUUUUGUUUUGUUUUAGCACACUACAUGUGUUUGUAAUAUUUUAGUGUGACAUUGUAUGUAAUUUUAAUAAUGCACACUUUUCUUGUGCAUGAUGGCUAGUAUCAAUAUAAAUGAGCAUAUAUCAUAUUAAGUCUACCUCUCUGUACGUCUAGGUUAAAUUGAAAUCAUCACUCAUCUUAUAAUUUGGCAAAUCCACACUUGAAAUAUGCAGAAGAUAUUUGUUAACUCCAUUAAUUUGUCCCUGCAAGCUUUUGUAUAAUAGAUGCCUGAAGCAGUGAUUGGAUCUACUCUCUACCUUAUUAUUUAUCAUUUGGCACAGAUGGAAUUUCCAAUCAUCUUCCACUCCAAAGGAAGAUUUACGUCUCAUGUUUGGGACCAAGCUUUGACCUCAAAGGAUGGUGAGUCGAGAUGUCCACCCUCCAUUGUGUAAAUUUUGGAUAUCAGCAUGCCCCAACAUCGGCCACCAUGUCUAUCUAGUAAAAUGCUCAACACUGUAGCUGUACAAGAUGCUACUAUAGAUUAUUUUCAGUCUCAGAGACAUUUACUAACAGAGAAAAUAUAUCAUAGUAUCCGAUUAUGAGCACAUGAUUUCUUCGUAUCAGCAUCUGAUUUAUAAAAUAUUGAAACCAAUUUUUAAAGUUGAAAUUCUUUACCUUGUUAUCACAUUGAUCAUCCCAUUAAUUCCCCCUUCAUGAUAUCUUUAAAUAAGAAAAAGCUUGGGGUAUGUGCAACUAUCCUGAUGCUCUUAGACAAGCCAGGAAAAAAAAUUAUUUGGAGCAUCAUAUUUUUUCUUGGACGGUCGUUCAUAGAUCGUAUAUGCUAAAUGUUCUACAUAGUCUAAUUAUAACAAAUGAUUAUAUGAAAGUUCAUAUUCUCCUGCAUGAAAGCUCUAUAUACAUACCCAUUAUCUUGGUGACAAUUGACAAGUCACCGAUACAAUUCUGCAAUUAAAUUAGAAUGCAAGGAUAAUAUAUUUAUUUAUGAUUUUAUUAAUUAUCUCAUAGCUGUGUAUAUUCAAUAAUUUCCUUUAAUGAUUACAGCUCCGCAUCAGUUUCUUUCUUGUUCGAGGCUUGUCGGGCCUUUUAUUGAACCAAAACAAAAACAAACUAUUAUAACAUGUCUAUGAAACAAAGCCCAAGCAGCUAUUGGCUUAAGCCUUUUUAUUCCAGCGCGGGAUUUCAAAUUCUUGCAAGAAUCGUACAAUUACCAGAAUCACUAACAAUUCAUUUUCUGUUUUGGAAGAAUUAUUUUUCAAAGUAUUUUUUAUUUAAAAAUAUAUUAAAAUAGUAUUAUUUUAUUUUUAAAAUUUUUUUUGAUAUUAGUAUUAAAAAUAUUAAAAUUAUUAAAAAAUAAAUUAAUUUAAAGCAAAAAAUAAAAAAUAUUUUUAAAACGUAAAAAAAACAACAAACUGAUUCUAAAAUUACCAGAAUCCAUAAUUAUUGCAAUAUUAUUAAUUUAAUAUUUUUUAUUCUUAUCUUUAUUCUUUUGUAAUUAUUUUCUUUGCAUAUGAAACUUUUGCUUUCACCUUACAAAAUUAUUAUACAAAGACUAAAAAAAUGAUGUUUUAAUGUAGCAAUUACAACGUUAUUCUAUUUUUAUACAACAUUAAAAAUGAGCUUAAGAUCUUAUUUUUUUAUUACAUAUAUGAACUUCACUAUAUUAUAUUAUAUGUAAGCAUCAACCUUUUAUUUCACGAUUAUAUUUUUUACGUCUUCAAAAAAUAUGUUAAUAACACCUACACAUUAAUUCAUCUGUGCUAAAAAAUAAUUAUCAACUUGCAACUACGUGAAUCGAAUAGACACGCUAAUAUUGUUUUGCAUUUAUUGAAAGAGAUGAUUCUUGAUUUAUUUAAUUACAUGCAUGUAUAUGCCUUUUCUUUUUGUACAAAAAUGCAUUUGAAAAGCUUGCAUGUGUUUUUCUUCCAAAAACAUUAUCUAGCCCGGAGAGGAUUGCAUUUCAAAUAACUAGUAGUAUAUACUAAAAGAGUUGAUGAUUAUAUUGUUAAUCACCUCACAAAACACUAUUCAUUUUAAUAGUGUUUUGUUUUCGUUCCCCUCCUAAAUCUGUGUUUCUCCUUAAUUUUAUACUUCAACAUUUAGUUUAUUGGAUAUUGAGCUUUAUAAUUUAUUAUGGUUUACUUUAUAUGUGGUUAGUCGAGUCUUGUAAUCUAUGUCACAGGUUUAGCAGGUUAAUUCGGUUGAUUUGGGGUUUUUUUAAUUGAUUUUGUUUUUUAAUCUUGUUCUUCAACAUUGGAUUGAUUGAUAAUUAUGCUUUAUAAUUUAUUUUGGUUUGUUUUUUUAUAAGGUUAUCCGAUUUAAUGAGUCGAGUCGCAAGUUUAACGGGUUAACCCAGUUGACUCGAAUUGUUUUUGUCUUUUUUUAAUUGAUAUUUUUUCAAUUUUAUGUUUCAAUAUUGAGUUGAUUAUCAAUUAGGUUUCAUUAUUUAUUUUGGUUUGUUUUCUAUGAAGUUAUCUUAAUCUUAUGAUUUGGGUCACGUAUUUUGUAGGUUAACGCAUGUAGACUGAGAUUGUUUUAUUGUGUUCUGUUUUUAUAUUGAAUUUUUUUUCUUCAAUUUCAACCUUUAACAAUGGGUUUAUUGAAAAUUGAGCUUCAUAAUUUGUUUUGAUUUACUUUCUAUGGAUUUAUCAGGUUGACUCGAGUUGACUCAGGUUAUUUUUUUUUUUACUUUCUAUAAGGUUAUCCUAAUUUUUUUGACCCGGAUCACGGGUUUGACAAUUUAACUUAGGUAAUUUUUUUUCAUUUUUAUCCUUUAGUACUUGAUUGAUUUGGAAUCAGGCUUCAUAUUUUUUUGGUCUUGCUUUCUCUAAAGUUAUCCCGGUUUCAUUACUAGGGUUACAGUUUGGCGAGUUAACCUGAGUUGGCUCAGGGUUUUUUUUGUUUGUUUUUUUAAUUUCAUAAUUUAAAAUUAAGAUUUCUUAUCUUGAGUCACAGGUCAACUUAGGUUUGUUUUUUCUUUUUUUAUUUAUUUUUUUUCAAAUUUAUCCUUUAAUAUUUAAUUGAUUUGAGAUUAAGCUUCUUAUUUAUUUUUGUUUUCUAUGAGGUUAUCUUAAUCUCAUUACAUAGUUCAAGAGUUUGACUGGUUAACCGGAGUUGACUCAGUUUUUUUGAAUCGAUUUUUUUUUCCAAUUUCAUACUUCAACAUUGGAUUAAUUGAGAAUUGAACUUCAUAAUUUGUUUUGAUUUGGUUUAUAAGGAGUUAUCUUAGUCAUAUGACUUAGGUUGUAGCUUUAACAGGUUAACCCAAGUUAACUCGAGUUGUUUGUUUUUUGAUUUUUUUUAAUUUCAUCUUUUAACAUUGGUUUAAUUGAGAAUUGAGUUUCAUAUUUGGUUUUGAUUUACUUUCUAUGUGGUUAUUUCGAUCUUAUAUUUUUGUCGUGAAUUUGACGGGUUUACUCGGAUAGAUCUAAUAUAUUUUCGUCUCAAUAUUUUUUUUAAAAAACAUGCAAUCUUGAAUUUUUUUAGUCAAACUAUAUUUUUAACGAUUUUCCAGUUGACCUCGUCAUAUCAAGUUAACUCCUACUCGUUUUAAUGUUUUUCAACUAGAAAACACGUUAAUAACACUUAGAUAUUUUUUGAUGUUAAAAAAGUUAAUCCGACCUGCAACAUAGUGCGGACAAUAAUCUAGUCUACUCUAUUUUUGAAAGUAAGGGCCUAAAGGGAUAUUUGAGAUUAUGGUAGUGAUUGCUUUUCAAAGUGCGUUUCGCUCGGAAAUGCAUCAAAAUAAUAUAUAUAUAUUUUUUAAAAAUAUUAUUUUUGAUAUUAACACAUCAAACUAAUUUGAAAACACUAAAAAAAUUAUUAAUUUGAAAUAAAGAAAAAAAAUAAAAAAAAUUAAAAUUUUCAAAACAUUUUUGAAACCAAAAAAACAAACAAACAUUUAAAAAUGUUAAAAUUCGGAUAGACUUAGAAUGAAAUCCCCAAACUAAUGGCAAGAGGAUCAGAAUACAUGUAUCUGGAUUAUUUUCUUCUCGAUCUCUUCGCAUGAAAGUCAGGGAGAAUAGAUUAACUGACUGGCCUUCUUAAUUUCCAAAUGAUACUAUUGAUGAACAUUUUUCUCCUUUGUGGAAAAAGAAAAGGACUUGCUAGACAAUCUGAAGCUAUUGUCUUAGGCAUUGGAAUUGAUAGAAUUAAAAGUCUUGCAGUGAACGCAUGGACCCAUGCAUCAUGUUUGGUUUCAAAAGACAGGAAGAAAAGUCCAUGGGAAUGCCAUGCACUUCAUUCAUAAACUUCGCAUUAUCAUUGAAGGGAAGCAUUACCACGCAAACAUGGCAUCCGUUGAUUGUGAGCCAAAACUUCUCGCAAUUUUAAGCAUCUCAUUUUUGUACUGGUCUCGUGGCUGCUCUUGACCCAGCCUUGCUAGCAUCAGAAGGCAAGGCUUCGCUUGAGAGUGGAUGGUGGAGUGACUACAGCAACCUCACCUCACAUCGUCGCAACUGGACUGGCAUAGUCUGUGAUCGGGCUGGAAGCAUCACUGAUUCACUGAGAUUUCCCCACCUCCAGAGUUCCUCAAGGGGGGGAAUAUACCUGUGUGAGAGAUGCCAUGUGCUAUUAGAGAGCUCAAACAAUGCUAAAGAUACAAAUUAUUUUGAUUAAAAUUAUUUUAUGGAUUGGUGCUGCUGCUAUGAUGGGUGUUGCAGUGAUCGAUUAAAUAAUAAAGUCUGAGAUAUCUCUUCACAUUGCCCUCAAUUAUUUGGUUGUGUCAUCUAGCAGGACUCUUCUGAGAACGAGAGAGAUUUCUUUGGAUCUGAAGAUUUCGGUCUAAAGCCAAUCAGAACGGAAUCCACAUCAACAACGAAUACUUUCCAGAAAAAGAGUAUAUUUUUUGAAGAAUCCCCAAUGUCAAGAUUUGGCAACUCUCCAAGGUUCAGCGAAGCAGGGGACCAUUUUGACAAUUACUCGAGAUUUGAUUCCUUCAGCAUGAAUGAAGGAGGCUUUUCACCACGAGAAAAGCUUACAAGGUUCGACUCCAUAAACAGCUCCAAAGAUUUUGGCCACAGCCGUGCAUUCUCUUCAUUUGAUGAUGGAGAUCCAUUUGGCUCCAGCGCCCCCUUUAAGGUUUCAUCUGAAGAUCAAACUCCCAAAAAGAGUUCUGGCAAUUGGAGUUCUUUCUAGCAGCAAUCUGGUUUUCCCGUCCCUCCCUCUCUCUCCAUUUUUUUUCACGGUUGCCAAUUUUUGUAUGUGCUGUAUAGAUUGUGUUGAAAUGCUGAAUUGUUGUAAAGUUAUUCAUCAUGGCCUUGCUUCAUUUUUAUUUUGCUGAGGUAAAAAAACUUAUGUUUGGGGGGCAUCCAGAUCAAAGAUGGAAUGCUUGUUCUUUUGAGUGGCAAAUUCUUGAGACCAAUAAAAACUGAGUAGUUUGAGAAAACAAUGCUCUUGGCAUUCCAUCAACUCACAUUGCUCAAAUUGCAUUUUAUUUGAAGCUGCCUGCUUCACUAUGACUGUUGGCAUUCCCUUUCUUCAUUUUUUAAUUUUUGGUGCUACGAGUUGUUUAACAAUGCAAGCCAGGCAGUAAACACCGGUUUUGGAGGCGCGUGACCUUCCUUAAGGGUUUUGGCCACGCGCUUCCUUGGAUAUUUCUAUUAUCCAGAUGAGCUCGGGUGCUAGGCUAUGUCUGAAUGAGAUUAUGGGCUCGUUAGCUGGGCCUUUUCCAUAUUGGCAAGUUGUGGACUCGUAUUGGGUUUUGCAUGUCGGAUUUGGCCUGAUUUGAUGAAUCAUUUUUAAAGUUUUGGGAUUUUAAUUUUAAUUUUUGAUUUUAUGGGUUAAAUUAAGAAAUACCGGGUGGGGUGCACUGUGGUCUUGGGGAUAGACGGGGACGUGGGUGGGUCAACCCAAGGAGGGGAUGGUAAGGAACUAGGAAGAUUCAUGGAGUUAGGGUCGUCGUAUGUGUGUGUGUGGAGGGUUGUGUAUGUGGGUAGGGUGGGGCCUUCUUCUUAUUACCAUAGGCAUGCUGGAUAUUUUUCCAGGACAUUAAACCAUGUCCCAAGUCCCAACACUGUCAGUCUCGACUCAACUACUUCAAGGAAAGUUUGCCAAUUGCAUGUUCUUGGAAGCAACCGGAUCAUCAUCUACUCUAUUUAUGAAACAAAGGCCCCACAAGACGUGGAAUGAGUCCAUGAAAAUGCCAUGCACUUAAUUCAUUCAUAAAUUUCGCAGGCAAGCGCAAACAUGGCAAUACAAGAUGCGAGCAAUUAUUAUCUGCACGGUCUCUUUCUAUGAAAGGAUGGAUUGACUGCCUGGGCUUCUUAGUUUUCAAAUGCCACUGUUCGUGAUAAAAAAUAGAAUGCCUGUUCUUUUGAGUGACAGAUUGUUGAGACCAAUAAAAACAAACUGAGACGUACGAGAAACCAUUGGUGGUGAAAUUUCAUGCUCUCAUUUUCACCCAUCAACUCACAUUGUUCAAGUUCCAUUUUAUUUGACGCUGCUUUACCAUGACAGUUGGCAUUGCAUUUUGUCAGUUCUUAAUUUUUGAUGCUGUGAAUUGCUUAACAAUGUAAGCUAGACAAUAAAAACACAGGUUUUGGACUUUCUCUACACCACAACUACAUCAGUCUUUCAAGAUUACAGGUUCGAUCCCUUCAGAAAUAGGGAAUUUGAAGAACUUGUGUGGACUUUCUCUACAUCGGAACUACAUCACUGGUUCGAUUCCUUUUUCAUUAGACAAUUUAAGAAACUUGGCAUUUCCAUAACUCUCUUACAACCACAUCAAGGGAUCCAUCCCUUUGGAAAUAUGGAACUUGGCAAAUUUGGAAGCAUUAGAUCUUAGUUCAAACAAUAUCAGUGGUUCCAUUCAUUCCAGAGUAGGCAGUUUAACCAUUUUGAGAUAUCUUGACCUUUCUUCCAAUCAAAUCAACGGAUCCAUCCUUUACGAAAUAGAGAGCAUGGAAAAUUUGAAAACAAUAGAUCUCAGUUCAAACAAUAUCCAUGGUUCGGUUCCUACCAUGAUGUGCAAUUUAAAAGCUUUAUGGAUCCUGUUUGCACCAGCGUUGCAUGUUUCUUGUUUACCAGUACAUAGAAAAGGGAAGCUUGUCUUGUGCCUUGAGAAAUGAUGUUGCAGCUGUGGAAUUGAAGUGGAUGAAAAGAGCACACAUCAUCAAAGACAUUGCUCACACAUUAUCUUGCAUCAUGAUUGCCACCCACCAAUUGUUUAUCGAGACAUAUCAAGCAGCAUUGUUCUGUUGAAUUCAGAAUCCAAGUCUUUUGUUGCUGAUUUUGGUGUGGCUAGACUUCUCGAUCCUGAGUCGAGUCGUCCAACCAUACUGUAUUUGCUGGUACCUAUUGAUAAGCUAGUAAGAAUUGUUACAGAGAUGAACAAGAAGCGAACAGAAUUAGAGAAAGAUGCUGCAAUGCAGAGGAAGAAGAAAAUGUUUCUGUGUAUUAUUCACUGCUUACAUUCCCAGCACUGUUACAUUCAUUUUAUAUGAACUAAAGGUGAGAAGCUUGGUUACGUAAUCUAAUCAACAGUAACAGACUUUGUUAACUGUCUAACCAUAUUAGCAAACUUGCUAACCAUUAUAUCUCUAUUCUCUUGACAGGUGGCAGCAGCAGAGCCUUUGAUAUCUUGACACCUAUGGAUACAUCGCCCCAGGUAAAAAUAUUUCAACUUCAUCUACAAGACGUGGGCAAUAGGGAUUGACUAAGAAUCAAAUCCACAAAUUGAUGGCACGAUGAUCAGAAUACCACAAUGUAUUAGCAUUAUUUUUCUACUCGGUCUCUUUCCAGGAAAAUCAGGGAGAAUAGAAUUAACUGAUUGGCCUUCUUUAUUUCCAAAAUCCACUAUUGGUGAUUUGUAAGCCUUUUUCUUAAUCACAACGCAAGAAAAGUACACGUGAAACACAGACGAUCUUGACUUGGAACGAGUCCAUGGGAAUGCCAUGCACUUCAUUCAUAAACUUAGCAUUAUCAUUGAAGGGAAGCAUUAGACACAAACAUGGCAUCCAUUGAUUAUGAGCCAAAACUUCUUGCAAUUUUAAGCACCUCAAUUUUCGUGUCCUGUAUUUUUGUAUCAAGUACUGGUCUUGUGGCUGCACUUGAUGACUCCGCCUUGCUAGCAUCAGAAGGCAAGGCUUUGCUUGAGAGUGGAUGGUGGAGUGACUACAGCAACCUCACCCCAUAUCGUUGCAACUGGACUGGCAUAGUCUGUGAUCGGGCUGGAAGCAUCACUGAGAUUUCCCCACCUCCAGAGGUCGUCAAGGUGGGAAAUAAGUUUGCAAAGAUGAACUUUUCUUGCUUCUCAAACCUUGUCCGUCUCCACCUGGCCAAGCAUGAGCUCAGUGGGAGCAUCCCGCCUCAAAUUUCUAUCCUCCCACAACUCAGACACCUCAACCUGUCCUCAAAUAAUUUAACAGGUGAGUUACCGUCUUCACUUGGAAAUCUCAGCCGAUUAGUUGAGCUUCAUUUUUCUUACAAUAAUUUCAUCAAUUCCAUCACUCCAGAACUAGGCAAUCUUAAAAAUCUUGUUACUUUGAACUUGUCUCAUAAUAUUGAAUUGAAAUCCGUUGAUCACGUAGAAGAUUCUGCAGCAACUAUAAAUCAGGCCAAACCUGGACCUCUAUUUUCGGUUAUGAUUACAUGCCUUGAUUUACAUCUCUAGAUUCUAUUUUGAAUUUUGUAUAGCAAAUUAGUAGGAGUGAUUUACUUACAGCUGUAUUAUAAAUAUUCAGACUCUGAGCAUAUAUGAAAUUAAAAAAACUAUUUUGCCUCAUCUGUCUCUGUUAAUCUCUACAUGGUAUCAGAGCAGGCGACUUACGUCCUCUCAUAAAGAUCCUUCUCUGUCCAUUAUUUUCACCUCUUCCUUCUAAACUCCUGUCUCAUAUUCCUCUUAGCCACCAUGGCCACCUCUCCUCAUUCUUCCUCUACUUCUAACAACACUCUACCUGUCUUUAAUCCUUCUUCCAGCCUCAACAUCACCAAACUUACUCACAACAAUUUUCUAAAUUGGAAAGCAACCAUGCUUCCCUAUCUCAAAGGUAAAAAAGUGUUUGGCUAUGUUGAUGACACUAUUAAAAUGCCUUUCUUCAUGGACUGUUAGAUGAAGAGGUAUAUAUGUGUCAACCUCAAGGGUACAUUCAUCCCGACUUUCCCACUCACAUAUGCCGUUUAAAGAAAAGUCUAUAUGGUCUUCGUCAGGCUCCCCGUUCUUGAUUUUCUCGGUUGACAGAUCAAUUGCUUCAGUAUGGUUUUGUAGGCUCCAAAUCAGAUCCUUCUCUUUACAUUCUACAGACUGCAAGUUUCCAGCUGCUCAUCCUUAUAUAUGUUAAUGACAUACUUGUCACGGGUUCUCACUUUGAGGAAGUCAACAAAUUAAUUUCUUAUCUUGGACGUGCCUUCCCUGUCAAAGACUUGGGACAAUUAUCAUAUUUUCUUGGAGUUGAAACUCUGCAUGAUGGUGGUGAUUUGAUUCUGACUCAACAAAAAUAUGUAAUUGACUUGUUACAAAGACUCAAGCUAGAUAAGGUAAAACCUUGCAGCACGCCAAUGUCCACAAACUGCACACUAUCCAAAUUUGAGGGUAUUAAUUUCGACGACCCUUAUUUAUAUCGAAGUACAGUUGGUGCCUUACACUAUCUUGGUUUUACACGACCCGACAUUGCAUUUGCAGUUCACAAGGUGAGCAAGUUCAUGCAUCAGCCCAAAGAUGUUCAUUGGCAGGCAGUGAAACGUAUACUUCGUUAUCUCAAAUACACUGUCAAUUAUGGUUUACAUAUUACUCCUCAGUCUGAUCAUACUUUACAAGGCUUUAGUGACGCCGAUUGGGCUGGUGACAGUGAUGACCGACGAAGUGUAGGAGCAUAUUGUAUCUUUCAUGGAUCCAAUUUAAUUAGCUAGAACUGCAAACAACAACAAACAGUGGCACGCAUCAGCACUGAAUCGGAAUAUAAGUCACUGGCCAACACUGUUGCUGAAUUGCAGUGGCUUCAAUCUCUGCUGCAAGAACUCCAAAUGCCUCUCCAACACUGUCCAACUCUUUGGUGUGACAAUAUUGGUGCAAUUUAUUUCUCAUCUAAUCCAAAGUUCCAUGCUCGUACGAAACACAUUGAAAUUGACUUUCAUUUCGUACGAGAUCAAGUUGUGCAACAGAAACUUCAUGUCUCCUUCGUGUCCACACGUGAUCAGCUCGCAGAUUUGUUGACUAAACCUUUGGCUGUUGCACGGUUUAAUCAUCUACGAACCAACCUUCAUGUGCAGGAGCUGCCCAUUCGGUUGAUGGGGUGUAUUGAAUUGAAAUCCGUUGAUCACGUAGAAGAUUCUGCAGCAACUAUAAAUCAGGCCAAACCUCAGCAAGUGGAGAAGACUUAACAAACCUGGACCUCUAUUUUCGGUUAUGAUUACAUGCCUUGAUUCACGUCUCCAGAUUCUAUUUUGAAUUUUGUAUAGCAAAUUAGUAGGAGUGAUUUACUUACAGCUGUAUUAUAAAUAUUCAGACUCUGUGCACAUAUGAAAUUAAGAAAAUUAUUUUGCCUCAUCUGUCUCUGUUGUAGAGUCUCUACACAUAACAACUUCAGCGGCCCAAUCCCUUCGGCACUUUGUCAUUUGGAAAAUCUAACGCAUUUACAAAUGGAUCACAAUAGUUUCGAAGGUGCCCUCCCUAGUGAAAUAGGGAACAUGAAGAAUCUAGAGAUUUUGGACGUGAGUAAUAAUACACUUAAUGGUCCAAUCCCUCGAACAAUGGGUAGUUUAGCCAAGUUGAGGUCUUUGAUCUUUUUUAUAAACAAAAUCAACGGAUCCAUCCCUUUGGAAAUAGGAAAUUUGACGAACCUUGAAGAUUAAGAUCUUUGCUCUAAUAACCUAGUUGGUUCAAUUCCUUCAACGAUGGGUCUUUUAUCCAACUUGAUUUCUCUAUUUCUUUGUGAGAACCAAAUCAAAGGAUCCAUCCCUUUGGAAAUAGGAAAUUUGACGAAUCUAUAAUAUUUAGACCUUUCCUCUAAUAGCCUAGGUGGUUUAAUUCCUUCAACUUCGGGCCUUUUAUCCAAUUUGAUUUUUGUAGAUCUUUCCUAUAAUACCCUAGUUGAUUCAAUUCCUUCAACUUUAGGCCCUUUAUCCAAUUUGAUUCUUCUAUAUCUUUCCUACAACCAAAUCAAUGGAUCCAUCCCAAUCAAGAUAAGAAAUUUGAUAAAUUUGAAAGAUUUAUAUAUGAAUUCAAACAAUAUUAGUGGUUUGAUUCCUUCUAUAAUGGGCCGUUAUAGAGAACCAAACCUUUUUGAAAACCAAAUCAAUGGAUCCAUCCUUUCAUCUUUGAAGUAUUGUAAUAAUUUGACCUUCCUAGAUUUGAGCUGCAAUAAUUUAAGUGAAGAGAUACCCUCCAAUCUAUAUGAUUUGACCUCUUUACAAUAUGUGAAUUUUAGUUACAAUAAUCUCUCAGGCCUGUUCCCUUGAAUUUGCCACCACCCUUUGAUUUUUAUUUCACAUGUGAUUUACUUCUUCUUGGGAAAAUUACCGACGAUUCUACAACUUUUAAAGCUACUGCAUUUGAGGGCAACAAAUAUUUACACCCUGAUUUCUCAAACUGUUCGUUACCUUCAAAAACUAAUAGAAGGAUUCAUUCCAUCAAGAUAUUUCUUCCUAUCACCACCAUUUUACUUUGUCUCUUGUGUCUCGGAUGUUGUUAUCUGUCUCGAUGCAAGGCUACCCAACCUGAGCCAGCAUCAUCAAAGAAUGGAGACUUGUUUUCCAUAUGGAAUUAUGAUGGGACGAUUGCAUACGAAGACAUCAUUGCAGCGACCGAGAACUUUGACCUCAGAUAUUGUAUCGGAACCGUUGGUUAUGGGAGCGUCUACCGAGCACAACUUCCAAGUGGGAAAUUAGUUGCCUUGAAGAAACUUCAUCGUCGAGAGGCAGAGGAGUCGGCUUUUGACAAGAGUUUCAAAAAUGAGGUGGAAGUGCUCACACAAAUACAUCACAGGAGCAUUGUAAAGCUUUAUGGAUUCUGUUUGCACCAGCGCUGCAUGUUUCUUGUUUACGAGUACAUGGAAAAGGGAAGCUUGUUUUGUGCCUUGAGAAAUGAUGUUGGAGCUGUGGAAUUGAAGUGGAUGAAAAGAGCACACAUCAUUAAAGACAUUGCUCACGCAUUAUCUUACUUGCAUCAUGAUUGCAACCCGCCAAUUAUUCAUCGAGACAUAUCUAGUAGCAAUGUUCUGUUGAAUUCAAAAUCCAAGUCUUUUGUUGCUGAUUUUGGGGUGGCUAGACUUCUCGAUCCUGAUUUGUCCAACCAUACAGUACUUGCUGGUACCUAUAGAUACAUUGCCCCAGGUCAAAUAUUUCUUCUUUAUAUACGUGUAUCACUAAUGUCAUGCACACCAACAUUAAAGCAAACUCUCUUUUAUAUAUUUUUUAAUUUCAUUUUGUUUAUGGACAGAGUUGGCUUAUACUAUGUUGGUGACAGAGAAAAGUGAUGUCUAUAGCUUUGGAGUAGUGGCGCUAGAAACGUUGAUGGGAAGGCAUCCAGGAGAUUUCCUAUCAUCAUCUGCUCAGGCUAUUACACUGAAAGAAGUGUUAGAUCCUCGUGUGUCACCUCCAACAGAUGAAAUUGUCAUACAGAAUAUAUGUAUUAUUGCAACUCUGGCAUUCUCUUGCUUACAUUCGAAUCCAAAAUCUCGACCUUCGAUGAAAUUCGUGUCUCAAGAAUUUCUAUCUUCCAAGAGAUCAUUGGCAGGUCUUGAGAUUUCUUUGCUGGAGCUGCGAACUCUUGGCAUGCACGCAAAUGGAGGUGAUAUCACAGUUCCUAGUUGAAAAUGUGAACUUUGAGCUCACAUUGAAGUUUAUAAUAUUUCUUAAUUUUGGAAGAACUCUUUCUUUUAGUACAUUAAAUGUCUUUAUAAUAUUUUAGGGUGACAUUGUAUGUAAUUUUAACGAAGCACACUUUUCUCGUGUACUGUAGAAUCAAUUAGAGCAUCACUGUCUGGGUUAAAUUGAAAUCAUCACUCAUCUUAUAACUAGGCAAAUCCCCACUUGAAAUAUGCAGAAGAUAUUUGUUAACUCCAUUUGUUCCUGCAAGCUCUAGUGUAUUGGAUGCCUGAAAGCAGUGUUUGGAUUGAUUUUUUUCCGACUGAUGUGCUUUGGUAUUUAUCAUUUGGCACGGAUGGGAUUUUCCAUCAUCUUCCGAAGGAAUACCACUUCAAGAUUUAUGUCUCAUGUUUGGAACCGCAAGAAGUUAAAAGAGAGAGUUUUUAUUGUCUCAGAGACAUUUACUAGCAGAAAAAAUGAUUUCUUCGUAUCAGCUUCUGAAGUUGAAAUUCUUUACCAUUGAUACCGCAAUAUUUAUCAUCCUUAUUCCCCUUCAUGAUAUCUUUAAAUGAGAGAAAGCUUGGGGUGUGUGCAACUGUCCUGAUGCUCUUAGACAAGCCAGGAAAAGAAAGGUAAUCCUCAGGACCAACAUCUGUCAUCUCUUUCUGAGGGCAAAGCCCAAUCCCAAAACUUGUUUGCAGGAGCACUAAACAUCAGGCUCUUAUUAUCAUAUGCUUCACCACUGCACCACCCCUCCGAGCCGUGAAACAACCUCAUUUUCAAAACCUUUCCUCGGUAAAUUAACAUGCUCACAAGUAACCUGAUAAAGAUCACAGUAGGAUUAAAAGGGACGAAUCACCGAAACAUAAAAAACCAUCACUGAAAUUAAGAACAAUGAGAUUACUACUAGUAAGUCUAAGUUAUUGCUGGAAUGGAGAAUGAUGCGAUAGUAAUCCAACAUUACAAGGUGUUCAUGGACAUGAUAACUAGAAUUCAGUUAAAUUUAUGUUUUAAUAGAUAAAAACGUGCAUCAUAAUUUUUAUUUUAAAAAUAAUGAUAUAAUUAUCAAAAGCAAAGCAAUGGUAAAUGGCUAGUUAAGAAAAAGCUUGACGGAGCUGAACAAGAUUGAAAAGAAAACAAUUGUUUUUUUUUUUUUAAAAGGUUUGAGAUACUCCAGAGCUAAUUUAUCACACGAAGAAAAUAUAAUUCUCAAUAAUAAUCAAAUAAAUUACAAGAAAAAUAAAUGUUUUCUAGGCCUAAUACAACUUAAUUGUUUAUAUACUGCUAGUUAUAAAAAUAGAUUACAACUUGUUUAAAUAAGUAUUCAACUUAUUUUUACUGAAAAUAAGAAUUCUAAAAUAACCAGAAAAAAUAAAGAAAAAAAAAUCCAAAUACAUGUAGAAAAAACAAGAAAAAUUAAGAAAAUAAUGUUGUCUAGGUCUAAUAUGAAAGCCUUCUUGACUUUAACUUCUUAUAGUAGCAACCCAUUAAUUAUAAAACAAGGCAUUUAGAAUAUCCCGGUAAAAUUCAAAUAAUAUCUAACGACAGAAAAAAGAGAGAGCUUAUUUUCGUUAAAAAAAUUAUUAAAUUAGAAUGGAAGGAUAAUAUAUUUAUUUAGGAUUUUAUUAAUUAUCUCAUGGCUAUGUAUUCAAUAAUUUUCUUUAAUGAUUACAGCCCCGCAUAAGUUUCUUGUUCGCGGGCCCUCAAUUGAACCAAAACCAAAACAAACUAUUCUAACAUGUAUACAAAACAAGCCCAAGCAGCUAAUGGCUUAAGCCUUCUUAUACCAGCGUGGGAUUUCAAAUAGAAUAGUAUUGGAUAUUAAUUAUUUUAAAAAUAAUUUUUAUUUAAAAAUAUAUUAAAAUAAUAUAUUUUUAUUUUUUAAAAUUUAUUUUUGACAUCAGCAAAUUAUAAAGAUCUAAAAUCAUAAAAAAAUUAAUUCUAAGUAAAAAAAUAAAAAAAUAAUUUUUUUUAAAAUGCUUUUAAAACGCAAAAAUAAACAAGAAACUAGCUCUAAAAUUACCAGAAUACAAAAACAUUGUAAUAUUAUUAAUUUUAAUUUUAAUUUAUUUUUUUUCAUAUCUUUAUUCUUUCGUAAUUUGUUUUCUUGAAAAAUUAUUAUACAAAGAAUAAGAAAAUGAUGUUUCAAUGUAACAAUUGCAACAUUGUUUUAUUUUUAUACUACAUUAAAAAUGUGCUUAAGAUCUUACAUUUUUUUAUUAACUCAUGUGAUCUUCAUUAUAUUUUAUUAUAUGUAAGCUUCGAAUUUUUAUUUCACAUUUAAUUUUUUACUCGCCAUAAAAAAACACGUUAAUAACAUCUACACAUUAAUUCAUUUACGUUAGAAAAAAACAAUAAUCAACUUGCAGCUAGGCAAAUCAAAUCGACACGUCAACAUUUUGUUUUUUGCAUUUAUCAGCAGAGAUAAUUCUUAAUUUAUUUAAUUAAAUGCAUGUAUAUGCCUUUAGAUUUACAACUAGAUUUCUUUUUGUACAAAAACACAUUUAAAAAGUUUGCAUAUGUUUUUUCUUCCAAAAAAAUUAUCUAACCAGUAGAGAAGCACAUGUCAAAUGACUAGCAAUAUAAACUAAAAGAUGUGAUGAUUUUACUGUUCAUCACCUCAUAAAACACUAUUUAUUUUAAUAUUUUUUUUCCCUCGUUUUUUCCCUUUCUAAAUCUAUGUUUCUCCCUAAUUUCAUACUUCAAUAUUCAAUUCAUUGAAGAUUGAGCUUCAUAAUUUAUUGUGGUAUGCUUUAUAUGUGAUCAACCUAGUCUCAGAAUCUAUGUUAUAGGUUUGGUGGGUUAACUCGAUUAAGUUGAGUUUUUUUUUUUAAUUUACAUUUUUUUUUCAAUCUCAUAUUUCAACAUUGGGUUGAUUGACAAUUAUACUUCAUAAUUUAUUUUAGUUUGUUUUUUAUGAGGUUAUCUCGAUUUCAUAACUUGAGUCGUGAGUUUGAUGGGUUAAUCCAAUUGACUCGAGCUUCUUUUUUUUUAUAUACAUCUUUUUUAAUUGGUAUUUUUUCAAUUUCAUCAUUCAACAUUAAGUUGAUUAUGAGUUAGAUUUCAUGAUUUAUUUUAUUUGUUUUCUAUGAGAUUAUUCUGAUCUUAUGAUUUGGAUCACAUGUUUUGUAGGUUAACUCGUGUAGAUUGAGGUUAUUUUAUUGUAUCUUGUUUUUAGGUUGAUGUUUUGCCUUUAAUUUUAACCUUCAACAAUAUGUUUUUUGAAAAUUAAACUUCAUAAUUUUUUUUAUUUACUUUCUAUGACUUAUGUUAUUUUUUUAUUUAUUUUCUAUAAGGUUAUCCUAAUUUCUUGAUCCGAAUCAUGGAAUUGACAAUUUAACUCAGAUCAAUUUUUUUGUCAUUUUGUAUUUUUUUUUUCAAUUUUGUCAUUCAAUAUUUCAUUAAUUUAGAAUCAAGCUUCAAUUUUUUUUUUUUGUCUUGUUUUCUAUAAAGUUAUUCUAGCCUCAUUAUCAGGGUUACAAUUUGGCUAGUUAACCUAGGUUGAGUCAUGUCUUUUUUUUUUUUUUAAUUUCAUCCCUAAAUAUUGAGAUUUCUUAUCUCGAGUCGUAUAGGUCAACUUAGGUUUGUUUGUCAUUUUUUUUAUUUAAUUAUUUUUUUUUCAAUUUUAUCCUUUAACAUUUGGUUGAUUUGGGAUUAAGCUUUAUAUUUGUUUUUGCUUUCUACGAGGUUAUUCGGUUUUAUUAUUAUAUAGGUCAUGAGUUUGGUUGGUUAACUUGAGUUGAUUUAGUUUUUUGUUUAAUUAAUUUUUUUCAAUAUCAUCAUUCAACAUUGAAUUGAUUGAGAAUUAAACUUUAUAACUUAUUUUGAUUUGUUUUAUAUUGAGUUAUUUCAAUCAUAUAACCCAAGUUGUAGCUUUGACAGGUUAACCCGAGUUGUUUGUUUUUUGAUCUUUUUUUUUUUAAUUUCAUCUUUUAACAUUUGUUUAAUUGAGAAUUGAGUUUUAUAUUUGAUUUUGCUUUAAUUUCUAUGUGGUUAUUCCGGUCUUAUGAUUCAGGUCGUGAAUUUGACAGGUUAAUCGAGUCAAUUCAAUAUGUUUUCAUCUCGAUAUUUUUUAAAAAACAUGUCGUUUUAAAUUUUUUUAGUCAAACUAUAUUUUUAAUGGUAUUUUAAAUUGUUUUUAGACCUGUCAAAUUAACUAGGUCACUUCAACUUAACCUCUACAUGUUUUAAUUUUUUUCAACUAAAAAACAUGAUAAUAACAAUUACAUAGUUUUCAACUUUAAAAAAAAAAAUUAAUCUUAGCUGCAACAUAUUACUAGCAAUAUCUAGUCUACUUUAUUUAUGAAAGUAAGGGCCUCAAAGACGUGGGCAAUACGGAUCGACUAAGAAUGAAAUCCACAAAUUAAUGGCGAGAGGAUCAGAAUACAUGUAUUUGGAUUAUUUUCUGCUCGAUCUCUUUCCACGAAAAUCAGGGAGAGUAGAUUAACUGAUUGCCCUUCUUAAUUUCCAAAUGAUGCUUUUGGUGAUUGGGGAACCUUUGUCUCCUUUGUGGAAAAAGAAAAAAACUAGCUAGACAAUCUGAAGCUAUUGUCUUAGGCAUUGGAAUUGAUAGAAUGAAAAGUCUUGCAAUGAACGCAUAUGCCCACGCAUCAUCUUCGGUCUCAAAAAGACAGUAAGAAUAGUACACGUGAAAGACCAGAGGAACUUGACUUGGAAUGAGUUCAUGAAAAAACCAUGCACUUCAAUCAUAAAUUUAGCAUUCUCAUUGAAGGGAAGCAUUACACGCAAACAUGGCAUCCAUUGAUUAUGAGCCAAAACUUCUCGCGAUUUUAAGCAUCUCAUUUUUCUUGUCCUGUAUUUUUGUAUCUAGUACUGGUCUUGUUGCUGCACUUGAUGAUUCAGCCUUGCUAGCAUCAGAAGGCAAGGCUUUGCUUGAGAGUGGAUGGUGGAGUCAAUACAGCAACGUCACCUCACAUCGUUGCAAGUACUGGCCUGGCAUAUUUUGUGAUCGGGCUGGAAGAAUCACUAAGAUUUCCCCACCUCCAGAUUUCCUCAAGGUGGGAAAUAAGUUUGGAAAGAUGAACUUUUCUUGCUUCUCAAACCUUGUCCGUCUCCACCUGGCCAACCAUGAGCUCAAUGGAAGCAUCCCGCCUCAAAUUUCUAUCCUUCCACAACUUACAUACCUCAACCUGUCCUCAAAUAAUCUAGCAGGUGAGUUACCGUCUUCACUUGGAAAUCUAAGCCGAUUAGUUGAGCUUGAUUUUUCUUCCAAUUAUCUCAACUAUUCCAUCCCUCCAGAACUAGGCAAUCUUAAAAAUCUUGUUACUUUGAACUUGUCUUAUAACAGCUUCAGCGGCCCAAUCCCUUCGGCACUUUGUCAUUUGGACAAUCUAACGCAUUUAUUUAUGGAUCAUAAUAGUCUCGAAAGUGCCCUCCCUAGAGAAAUAGGGAACAUGAGAAAUCUAGAGAGUUUGGACGUGAGUUAUAAUACACUUACUGGUCCAAUCCCUCGAACAUUGGGUAGGUUAGCCAAGUUGAGGUCUUUGAUCCUUUCUCGCAACGCAAUCAAUGGAUCCAUCCCUUUAGAAAUAGGAAAUUUGACGAAUCUAAAAGAUUUACAGCUUAGAUCUAAUAUCCUAGUUGGUUCAAUUCCUUCAACGAUAGGUUUUUUAUCUGAUUUGACUAAUCUAGAUCUUUCUUAUAACGGAAUCAAUGGAUCCAUCCCUUUGCAAAUAGGAAAUUUGACGAAUCUAGAACAUUUAGAUCUUUCCUCUAAUAUCCUAGCUGGUUCAAUUCCUUCUACAUUUGGUCUUUUAUCCAAUUUAAUUCUUUUGCAUCUUUUUGACAAUCAAAUCAAUGGAUCCAUCUCUUCAGAAAUAGGAAAUUUGACAAAACUAUAUCGUUUGUUUCUCAAAGGCAACAAAAUUAGUGGUUCGAUUCCUAUUUCAUUAGGAGAUUUAAAAAACUUGGCAUUUCUAGACGUAUCUAACAACCAAAUCAUGGGAUCCAUUCCUUUGGAAAUACGAAACUUGAUAAAUUUGGAAGAAUUAUAUCUGAGUUCAAACAUUAUCAAAGGUUCAUUUCCAAUUAUACUCGGCAGUUUAACCAAUUUAAAGAAACUAGACCUUUCUCGUAACCAAAUCAAUGGAUCCAUAGCUUCAUCUUUGAAGAAUUGUAAAUAUUUGACCUAUCUAGAUUUGAGCUACAGUAAUUUAAGUGGACAAAUACCCUCCCAACUAUAUAAUUUGCCCUCUUUAUCUUAUGUGAAUUUUCGUUAUAAUUACCUCUCAGGCUUUGUUCCCUUGCAAUUGCCACAACCCUUUGAUGUGUCUUUCACCUGUGAUUCUCUCCAUAGCCAAAGAACCAAUAGUCCUGAAAUUUUUCAAGAUACUGCAUUUGAAGGCAACAAAGACUUACACCCUGAUUUGUCACGUUGUUCAUCUAUUUACUCCCCACCUUCAAAAACCUACUUGUUACCUUCAAAAGACAACAGAAUAAUUCAUUCCAUCAAGAUAUUUCUUCCUAUCACCACCAUUUCACUUUGUCUCUUGUGUCUCGGAUAUUGUUAUCUGUCUCGAAGCAAGGCUACCCAACCUGAGCCAGCAUCAUCAAAGAAUGGAGACUUGUUUUCCAUAUGGAAUUAUGAUGGGAGGAUUGCAUACGAAGACAUCAUUGCAGCGACCGAGAACUUCGACCUCAGAUACUGUAUCGGAACCGGUGGUUAUGGGAGCGUCUACCGAGCACAACUUCCAAGUGGGAAAUUAGUUGCCUUGAAGAAACUUCAUCAUCGAGAGGCAGAGGAGCCGGCUUUUGACAAGAGUUUCAAAAAUGAGGUGGAACUGCUCACACAAAUACGUCACAGGAGCAUUGUAAAGCUUUAUGGAUUCUGUUUGCACCAGCGCUGCAUGUUUCUUGUUUACGAGUACAUGGAAAAGGGAAGCUUGUUUUGUGCCUUGAGAAAUGAUAUCGGAGCUGUGGAGUUGAAGUGGAUGAAAAGAGCACGCAUCAUCGAAGACAUUGCUCACGCAUUAUCUUACUUGCAUCAUGAUUGCAACCCGCCAAUUGUUCAUCGAGACAUAUCAAGCAGCAAUGUCCUGUUGAAUUCAGAAUCCAAGUCUUUUGUUGCUGAUUUUGGUGUGGCUAGACUUCUCGAUCCUGAUUCGUCCAACCAUACUGUACUUGCUGGUACCUAUGGAUACAUUGCCCCGGGUAAAAAUAUUUAUUCUUAACAUACAUAUUUACCACUCAUGCACUGCAAAACUAAAGCAAACUCUCUUUAUAUAUAUAUAUAUAUAUUAAUUUCGUUUUGUAUGUGGACAGAGUUGGCUUAUACUAUGGUGGUGACAGAGAAAUGUGAUGUUUACAGCUUCGGAGUUAUGGCGCUUGAAACUUUGAUGGGAAGGCAUCCGGGAGAUAUCCUAUCAUCAUCUGCUCGGGCUAUUACACUGAAAGAAAUGUUAGAUCCUCGUUUGCCACCUCCAACAGAUGAAUUGUCAUCCAGAAUAUAUGUACCAUUGCAACUCUGGCAUUCUCUUGCUUACAUUCGAAUCCAAAAUCUCGACCUUCAAUGAAAUUCGUGUCUCAAGAAUUUCUAUCUCCCAAGAGAUUACUGGGAGGUCUCGAGAUUUCUUUGUUGGAGCUGCGAAAUCUUGGCUUGCACAUAAAUGUAGGUGAGAUCACAGUUCCUCGCUGAAAAAGUCAACUUCGAGCUCGCAUGGAACUUCAACGAGAGCCUCCAAGAGCAUGUGUUUAUAGAAUUUCUAAAUUUUGGAUGAACUUUUUUUUUUUAGCACACUACAUGUCUUUGUAAUAUUUUAGUGUGACAUUGUAUGUAAUUUUAAUAAUGCAGACUUUUCUUGUGCAUGAUAGCUAGUAUCAAUAUAUAUGAGCAUCGUAUUAAGUCUACCUCUCUAUCUAGGUUAAAUUGAAAUCAUCACUCAUCUUAUAAUUAGGCAAAUCCCCACUUGAAAUAUACAGAAGAUAUUUGUUAACUCCAUUAAUUUGCCCCUGCAAGCUCUUGUAUAAUAGAUGCCUGAAAGCAGUGUUUGGAUCUACUUUCUACAAUCUAUUCUGACUCUGUCACUAUCUGAACAACAUGUUUUGCUCUUUUUUUUUAUCUGAAUGAUGCACCUUAUUUAAUUAUCAUUGGGCAUAGACGGAAUUUCCAAUCAUCUUCCACUUCAAGAUUUAUGUCUCAUGUUUAGAACCAAGCUUUGACUUCAAAGAAUGGUGAAUUGAGAUGUCCUCCCUCCACCAUAUCUAUCUAGUCGUAAUACACAACAUUGUACGUAGCUUUACAGGAUACCUAGCUAUAGAUUAUUUGGAGCAUCAUAUUUUUCCUUGGACGGUCGUUCAUAGAUCGUAUAUGCUAAAUGUUUUACAUAGUCUAAUUAUAACAAAUGAUUAUAUGAUAGUUCAUAUUCUCCUGCAUGAAAGCUCUAUAUACAUACCCAUUAUCUUGGUGACAAUUGACAAGUCGCCGAUCCAAUUCUGCAAUUAUAUUAGAAUGCAAGGAUAAUAUAUUUAUUUAUGAUUUUAUUAAUGGCUGUGUAUAUUCAAUAAUUCCCUUUAAUGAUUACAGCCCCGCAUCAGUUUCUUGUUCGAGGCUUUUCGGGCCUUCAAUUAAACCUAAACAAAAACAAACUAUUCUAACAUGUACACGAAACAAAGCCCAAGCAGCUAUUGGCUUAAGCCUUUUUAUACGAGCAAGACUAAUCAGCACGAGAUUUCAAAUUCCUGCAAGAAUUACCAGAACCCACAAACGUGGCAACUCAAGGGCCUCAUCAUCCAAAACCAAAAGGCAAGUCCUCCCCUAAAAGACAAGAUUGUAGGGUUGUACAGGUCUCCUUCUGCAAUUACUUGUCAAGUCCUCCAACUAUUGCCUAAUUCUUAAUCAAGUCCUCAAUCCAAACUGGAUAUCCAUCACACAUUAUCCAAUUCACCCGUCACCAUAAAAAAAAUUAAAAAUUGAAAUAACUACUUUGUUUAAGAUGGAUGGUUCUAUGGUUCUGAUUUACAAAUCUUGAGAUCAAACUUAGAAUGACAUGAAAGUCUUUGGUUUAGAAUAAAUAAAUCAUCUCUUUUUAGAUUAAAAGUUACUUCUAACACGAUAAUAAUAAAUAGUUAAGUCUAGUUUUAUGAUUUUAAAGAAAAACAUUUAAAAUCAAAAGUCAGUUUAAAAAAGAUUACGAGUAAUUCAUUCUAAAUAUUUACAGUAAACGGAGCCAGAAUUUCAAGAGCCUUUCAUUAUUAAAAUUUACACCCUCACUUAAAAUCCAAACAAAUUUAGAAACGCGAUAAAGUCGUUCAGAUUAGGCUGAAAAAAGAAAAAAGAAACCAACGAUUUUUCAAUCUUCCCUCUUAUUGCUUAAUCAAGCAGAGAUGGUGGUUGCUUAGAUUUUCUCCUUCAAUUAUAGUUUAUCGUUCAGUUUCAACCAUAAACAGGCAAGACUCCCACGAAUCCAGGCUGUUUUCGGACACCAAUUAAGUGGGACCCAAGGUUCAGCUUCUAAACUCCGACAGCACAGAACUGCCCAUAGUUAAAACCCUGUAAGGGAAAAUAGUUUUCACUCUCCUUCUGUCGUCAACUGAAAGUUAAAAAAAUAACUGUAAUAAAAAACCAUGACGACUAUCUUGUUUUGGUCAACCUUUUCUACCUUUGCUGAUCAUUUUCACUCUCCUUUCUUGAUUGCUUCUUCUUGUUGGUUUCUCUUCUAUUUUACCACUAUUUAAUUACAAAAUAUUUAUUAUAAUAUUAAAAAAAAAACAAAAAACAAAAUACAGCACCCUUUUUCUCCCUUCCCCUACUUCUCCUUCCUCUCGGUUUCCUACUCGUAUUAGUUCCCAUUUCGAAUAAGGGAAAUAAGCCCUAAUAAUCGAGGUUGAAUCGGCCUCAUGGAUGGUUCAAUUCUCCUGGACCUACUUGUUGAAUUGCCAAACAAGAAGUAGGGAAGAGGGUUUUUGGAAUCUCUGUAAAUUGAAGACCUUUUGAUAGCUCAAGGAGGAUAUAG
This 77735-nucleotide long non-coding RNA is filed under the name Populus tremula. RNAcentral describes it as "long non-coding RNA (PTRE_LNC001885)". Lineage: Eukaryota; Viridiplantae; Streptophyta; Magnoliopsida; Malpighiales; Salicaceae. The record is from RNAcentral.